This 80034-nucleotide long non-coding RNA is filed under the name Triticum aestivum (bread wheat). RNAcentral's name for it is "long non-coding RNA (TAES_LNC024878)". The stretch from base 79270 to 79343 matches the Rfam family "tRNA". Lineage: Eukaryota; Viridiplantae; Streptophyta; Magnoliopsida; Poales; Poaceae. The record is from RNAcentral.
CUGCUCCCAUGUCUCCACCUAGCCGGAGUAGGUGAUCGAGUAGAACCUGCCCGCGUGGUAGACGGCGUCCUCGAUGCCGUCGCGCGAGGGUCCCAUCGGCCACGUGACACUCUCCGAUCCGACCUCCGCAACGCCGUGUCGCGAGGGCGCCAGCCUCCACGCACAGCCCUCCGCUGUCGCAAAGGCCACGGCGCCGUAGCGUGGAUCGGUGAUCAGCAUGGCGAUGGCGGAGGACUCGGAGAGGACGACCUUGCGGUAGAAGCGGUGGCGCAUCCCUUGGGGGGUCAACGACACGGUUCCGUCCGGGUACGGCGGGGGAGCCCUGAUGAACCGCUUCAGGUCGAGCGAGAAGAUGGAGCCCCCAGGUUGAGUUCGGGCGUUGACGCAGGGGAUGGUGUCGAUGGCCGGAAGCACGCGCCGCUCGCCGGUGACCGGGUUGACGAGGCGCAGCUGGGCCCGAUUGUCCGCGGUGACGAGCCACCCAUGGAAGGAGGAGGAUCCCAGAACGACGGGGUCGGGGUCCACGGCGCACACGACUGCGGAGCAGCGCUCGGCGAGCGAGAAGAGCGUGGUGGUCUCCGGGGAGUUGCCGGGCAGGACGAGCCAUGGCGACCCCGACUUGCCGAAGGCGGCGUCGAAGGCGAGGCGGUCGAGGAGGCCCAGACGGGCUUGGAUGUUGGCUAGCAUCUCGGGCGGGAGGCAUGCGACGGCCUCCGCCGUCUGAGUUGGCCGCAUUGGAAGGUGUUAGAAUAAAUCCGAGGCCAUACCGUCGAUCAUCCGAGGACCAAGCAAUCACACGAGCACGAUACCGAGAUUUGUUAACGAGGUUCACCGAUAUGGCUACAUCCCCGGGGCCUGACUACGGGCGCUCCUCCCCGUGGCACCGUCACAAUACACACACCGGCCACCCGGGCGCCGGCACACGCCGCCGGCUCCCUCUUGCGUGCCUGUGCUAUUAUGUUGGCAUAGGUUACAUCGUGUGUCUACCCCCGCUAUAUAUGAGAGGCCUAGGAUACAAAUAUCCUAUUAGGACACGACUCUGUACCUUGUAAACACAACACAACUCAUAGUCCAACUGUAACCUACCUUGUCACUAUAUUCGACACAACUCUAACAGAAGGAUCGAUAGGAGAGAUGGAGCAGUGGGUUUAGGUUUAGGGUUUAGCUAGGUGCUGCAUAUUUUUUUUAUAAGCCUAUGGUGCCUCCAUGCAAACUCCUACUCCCUCCGUUCCGAAUUACUUGUCGUAGGCAUGGAUGUAUGUAGAUGUAUUUUAGUUCUAAAUACAUCCAUUUCUGCGACGAGUAAUUUGGAACGGAGGGAGUAGGUCCUAGCUAUUUUUUUGAUAAAGGGAAUAUAUUAAUAUCAUGAAGAUAUCAAUUACACCCAGCCUCUGUGCCAACAAGAUGUCCAAAGGCAUCAAGGAUACACACAGCCAAAAAAGAAAUAAAAAAACAGUAGAAAAAAGAUCCCGCCAUGGUGUUCAAUCACUAGCAACAGCAUAACUCUAACAACCAUCGAAAGACAACACCCGGAUUACAAAAAAGGUUCUCCAGAAGCAACGCCUUCAAGAAGGAAACAAUUUUCUCUUAUGUUUGUGCGUAUACAGUUAUAUACACUAAUUUAUUCUUGUUUGGUAAAUGAUAUAAGUUGAAUUUCUCACCGUUCAACAUCACACACUUAAAAAUAUAUUUUGAACCACAUUUUUAAUUUUUAAAUUCAAAUUUAAGAUGGCAUUGCUUCCAAAUGCAUGAAUUAGACAAGUUCAAUCAAAAGCAAGCCAUCAUAUUAUGUUUCAAAAAAAAAGAGGAAAACAUCAUGCACACAUUCAACCAAAAGCACAUCACUGCGAAAAGAUCUCGUGUCGUCGGCACCGCUACCUCUAAGUGUGCAUCGCUCCCUCGUUUGAUCAUUUGCCGCUCCAUCCCAUCCUGGAUGCCAUGAUCUACGAGGUUAAAGUGCACAACUAGCGCCUGGUGAGGAACAUGCUCGCUCAGGGAUAUGAGCUUCACAUCCGGCGUAUAAAAGACCGCGUGUAUUUUGUGUCGACGGCUUUCUCCUUCACUUUCGUCCAUUGGGAAAGACCUUUACGGUGGUGGCCGAUCAGCACGAUGUGCGGCGGCUUUUUAAUAAAGGUGGCCGUAUGCAUCGUUCUGAUGCAGAGACCGGGGAGUCCCCCUUUUUGAAAAAAAAAAGCACGAUGUGCGGCGUGAAUGCGUCUUCGUCGACGCGACGGAGUUAUGCACAGACCCUGGAGAUCGCUGCGCGUGUGGUCGUCAUGCACCUGGGCGGCACGGGAUUCGUCACAGCUCCUGCCUCCACGCCGGUCUCGGCUUUGCAUGACAUUAGGAUGUCCUGUAUCGGCACGCAUGCAUGCAUGCCACAAUAAUCAGAAUAUAGUGUGCAGCAUUAGUUUUUUUCUAGUAUAUGCUGCCUGCUAGGUUGCUACAUGAAUCCGUGAUCAUCUUUUUGUUCUUUUUUCGAUGAUUAAGUAACCCUAGAAGUUUUGUCCACAUUACUGUCCGGAAACUCGUAUUAUUCAACUGAAAUAAUUUUAGUGAUAGUGACGCACGUGUGAAUGUAUGAAACUUAAGUAUCCUUCAUUCAUAUCAAGUUUUAGUAUUUAAUCUUGUUGAAAAAUUAAAACUUGUCAAAAUGUAUUUAAGAGUAGUCUUUUUUCCGAAGUCCUCAUCUUAAGAAACACAAAUAUGCAAACAUAACAUAAAAUAGACUUUCAGUUCAAAAGAUAAAAUUGAUUCAAAAUGAAAACUUUCUAAAUCACCGCCCAAAUGUGCGGCCCACGAAGUGUGUGCAUGAGCCACUGAUACCCCUGCGAAUUUCUUCCUUGGACGACUCAAAAAACAAUCAAAGCCCAUCGAGCAUGCACAAGAUUCUGUUGAAACGCUUGACGCAUCGUUAGGCAUGAACACAAGGAUUGUGACCAUGAAUCAUGUCCAUGCUGCUAGAAUAGACAGGAAGUAGAUCCUGGCGUCUGCCAUAGAUGCCCCCAUGGAGAUGGCCUAACGCCUUAGCCGUGUCUAAUACAUAAUCUUAAUAAAUGAGUUUUCCACAUUACGAGGCUUCAUAAUCUAAAAGUUUAUUGGAGAUUUAAAAAUGGUGGCAUGUUCUGUCUUUUUUGGCGAAGGCGAAUAAAAAUGUGCCAUAUUCAGAAUUUAGCAAAAGGCUUUUCACAUUAAAAUUUUCUACUCAUAGAUCGAUCAGGUGGUGGCCUAGCUUCCUCUUCAUUUUAAUAGCCAUCAUUCAUGACACUCAGUUGCUUAUGUUCAUACAUCUAGUGAUAUUGCAAUUAUCAUAUGACGGUGGAGCGCAAGUUAACUAGGUAGCACCCUGGAUGGUGGGAUAGGUAGUCUAGAUUCCAAGGCCGGGGUAAUUUAUAAAAGCUACUCUAGAUCUUAGUUCUCUUUAACUUGAAAGUCCUUGAGCUAGUCUUACCGGUUAGAACCACAAGUUGGUGGGCUAAAUGGCUCGGGUUUGAGCCUCACCACCUCUGAUUUAAUCUAAGCAUAUAUCCUCCUGUGCUCAACUCAUGUUUUUUUUAGUUCUCUCUACCUGUUUUCGGGUGCAAGAGAAUUGUUUCCUUCACACUAUAUGUUCAUGAUAACAAAUUUUGAGGAUUGAAAAUUUAAAAUCAAAGUAUAGAAUAUUUAGUUCUUCAUCCUAUAGUUUUUUAGUAGCUUCACGACUAUGUAAAGCAAGUAAACUUAAAUUUUAGCUCAUAGAUCGGUCCAGUGGUGGCCCUAGCUUCUUCUUCCUUUUAGACUAACACCUACUUUUCCUACUGUACGUGUUGGAUGUAGUGUGACCGCAAUCUGCUAGCUAGUAUUUUGAAUUUGUGAUAAGUUUUCCUAAAUAGAAAUAUCAUCGCAUAAUCACCGCUAGAAUUGCAGGAAAAACAUUCGUCCUUUCCAGCAGAAACUUACACACCCUUUCAAACAAAUAGCAAAUCCAGUAUGGUAUGUUUAUAUUAUUAUGUGCUACUCCCUCUGUCCCAUAAUAUAAGAACGUUUUUUAUACUAGUGUACUGCCUAAAACGUUCUUAUAUUAUGAGACGGAGGGAGUAUAACACAAUGAAGAAGCUGAAUUGGGAAUACGAUUCAGUUUAGGAUUAAAAAAGAAUUAUGAGUAAAAGUCAUCAAAAGUGAAAUUUGCAAGCAAGCAAGUAUUAAAAUCAUAAGAAAUAUAACUGUUCGUAAUAGCACAAAACAUAGGCAAGUAUUCAUGUCUUACCUUGAUCCAUUGCGACAUUGGUAGACCAAACUUCAAAGCUAAAUCACCCUCGGUUCUUCUGGUAUGUGUUCAUUGCAACGGUAGCUCAGCUCUAUCUCUCUACGUAUAUAUAAGCAGAUCCCAUUACACAAGUCCCACCGAUCUAGCUUUCACGUUGGCACAGACGCGCAAAGGAUUCAUUUGUCCUUUCCUCCGGCGCUGUCAAAAGUACAAAACAACCGUCAACGCUGCAGGCUUAUAUUUUAGGUUCUGGGAAGUUGCCGGUCUUGUUCGAGCCUCUGCUCUCUUGAUUUGCAUUUGAGAAAUACUUUGAUUUGUUUCCUACUCCUUCCGUUCCAAAUUAAUUGACUUGAAUUUGUCUAAAUACGGAUGUAUCUAUACUUGUUUGGUGUCUAGAUAAAUAUGGGUCAAAUAAUUUGAAACAGAGGGAGUAGUUACGUGCGUGGUUUUGUUUUCUUGCAGGAGUCUCGUGCGUGACAGCGUGAGUUGUUAACCGAAUCUGAUAGGAAAUUAAGAGUAGCUCAUGUUAUUUUUUGGGCAAAAAAUCACUCAGAUCUACUUAGCCAAAUCAGCAAUGGAGACGCUCAUAGGGAACAAAUAAAAUGCAUCAAGUAACUGGUGCUGAUUGUCUUCUUCCUUCCUAACAGGCCGAUGACAUGCCACUACAUCGCCCAAGCCAGUAUGUCAUUGUUGAACGCAGACAGGAAGUCAUUAAGAGCAUCUCCAGCCGUUCAGCCCCCCAGGGCGCCGAAAAAGAGCGGCCUGGGGGCGAACCGGCGCUAGAUUGGCCCCUCGGGCGACCUAGCUCCCAGCCACGCCCCCAGGCGCCGCCCCUCAGCCGCGGCAAAUUCGAACGUAGUCAUUCCGGCGCACAAAAUAGACGCCACAAAUCCGGCGGUCAAGCGGCCACAAGUUCGGCGAUCGGAUGAAAAGUUCGGCGUACAAAAAGCAGAUAGGACGCGCGUGCGCAUCAGACGGCGAGGUCGGCCUCCGGCGUCGGCGUGCGCGGGCUUGGCGGGGUCUUUGUGCUUGGUGGCGUCGGCGUGGCUUCUGUGCUGCGGGGAGUCUCGGCGGCAUCAUCGCUCGGGCUUGGCGGGGGCGUGGGCGUGGGCGUGGGCGGCGUCCUCGAGGGAAGCUGGUUCAGGAUGAGGCCACGCUCCGCCAAGUACCACGCCUUGAACGCCUCGUCGUUGCUCUGGAGCAUGUCCGCCCCGCCCAGCAGGAAAGCCAGGUCGGUGUUCCUUUUCUUCGCGGCGACGUUGGUCCGGAGUAGGUCGAGCUUGGCGGUGCUGCUCGACAUCAACGCCGACCACCGCGCGUCGGUCUUCUCUUCACGAAGGACGGCCCGGGCCUGUGCGUCGGCGAGGCAGUGCUCGAUGGACUCCUGCACUCGAGCGGUGGCCGCGUCGGCAUGUUUCCCCUUCUUGGCACCUUUGUUGCCGUCCGGCCGCCCUUCUGACGCGCCCGGAGUCGGCGCGUCCGGCUUGUAGGUCUCCUUGGCCUUGUCGAGGGUGCGCCGGACUUCCGCCCACUUCUCGCACUUGUCAAUGCGCUUGUAAACGUGGAGGUACUUGAAUUCGGCGUCGCGGUUGCUCUGCCGAUACAGGGCGAACAUGCGCAGCAACUGCGCGGAGGAACAAACAGUUAGCGGGCGCACACGACGAAGAGAGGCGGGAGACCGGCGUGGCAUACCUGAUCCUCAAUGCCGGCGCCGCUCUCCGGGCGAGCCGCGACCUCCUCAACGACCCCAUGCCAUUUGUUUCACGCCCCCUGGAUACGCCCCCAAUGGUUCGCCAUCGCCUUUGAGCCGCGCUGCAUGUAGACGCCUUUGAAGUAGGGGUCGACGAGCUUGCGCUCGUCGAACUCGGCCUUGAUGCGGUCCCAGUACGUCUCGAUGCUCUGGUUCGUGCCAGUGGUCGGGUCGAGGCAGACGACUUUCCAUGCUUCGGCGAGGCAUUCCUCCUCCUUGGACGCCCACUUGAUGCGCGGCUCACCUGACCUGGCCGCCCGCUUCUUCUUCUUGCGCCCCUUCGUCGGAACAGGCGCCGGCUCCUCCUCCUCCUCCUCGUCGUCGUCCUCCUCCUCCUACUCCUGCUCGUCCUCGCCGUAGACGUAGCCGAGCUCGCCGUCCAUGCCACCGCUGAGAUCCACCGUCUCGUCCUGGGUGACGAACCCGGGAGACGCGGCGGCCGUGGCUGAACCUGCCGCGAUGAUGUCGUCCAUGUCGGCCUCGGUCUCGUCGGUGUCGUCGAGGUGCGAGAAGGGCAGCGCGCCACGGCGGAGUGGGGGCGUCGGGGAGGAAGCGUAGGCGGGCGGCGAGUAGUUGUAUGGAGGGUACUGCACGCCGGCAAAGGCGAGCGAGGGCGUGCGCUGGGCCGGGUGUCCAUGGGGGAAGGUGACGUUUGGGUUGAACCACCGUGCGCGUCCCCGUCGGCCUAGCCCGGCGAGGGCGAUCCCCAUGGCUGCGGCGACGGAGAGCCGACGCCUUGCUGGCCCCAGGGCGCAUACUGGGCGUGGCUGACGGGUGGAUUCAUCAUCCCCGCGCGAGUCGCCUCGGCCUCGGCUUGGUCCGCCGAAGCGGCAGCCGCAACCGCGCGCGCCGCAUUGUCACGGGCCUUCUUGGCGAUGGCCCUGUUCCGCCGGUCGGCGGUGACAGCCUCCCGUCGCUGAACUUCCGCCCUCCACUCGGCGUUUGGCAUGCCCGGUGGCUUGGACGGUGGCGCCCUCGGCUUCCUCUGCUUCGGCUGGGCGAGGGAGGCGGUCGCGGUUGCCGCCGCGCGGGGGACGACGUACUUCUUCGGUGGCAUGGCGGCCGGCUAGGAGGCGAGCGGGAGGGAGAUUAGCGGGAGGAAAGGAGAAAUGGGAGGGAAGUGGGGGAAAAGCGGGAAGAAACGGCGGGAAUAGGCGCUGGACUUGCCACAGAGCGGACCCACGCGCCCUUUUCGCUUGUGCCGGCGCCCCAAGCGCCCCCAGGGCGCCGGGUUCUGCUUGGGUCCGUCGGCACCAGUUUCGGCCCGAGCCGGCGAAAAACGGGCUUUUGGGGGGCGACUGGACCGUUUUUCAGCGCCGGCGUGGCAAAAACGCCUGAAGAGGGCCUGUUGGGGGUGCGGCUGGAGAUGCUCUAAGGUCACGGUCAUGUCGGACUAUCACCCUGGAGAACAAAGCCACAUAUCCAAGAGCCAAACCUCCAUCAUUUCUCGCAUGCCUUACGCCAACACUAGAGACGCGAUCUGAAGACGAUAGACAUGUGGCUUAAUUAAUUAGUGUGUAUUCAGUGGGCCACGCAUGUGUUGAUCAAACACUACAUCAUUUAACUAAAUAUCUCUUAGUUCAAGAUGCUAAGGACAAAGGGCUCACAUGACAACUAAACUGAUAGGCGCGAAUAUACAGGGAAAAGACAAGCUCACUCUCUCAUGCGUGAACAUGAGGGCACCUCCAACGCUAACCCGUAAAUUUUCUUCCGCAUCCAUUCGUGGAUAGGAAGGUACCAGUCCGCGGACACGGAUGCAGGAAGACGCCAUCCAACCAUAACCGCAUGCAUUUUGGCAACCGUUCGAACUAACUGGGCGAUAUUCGUUCAAACACGGCUGGAUUUCAUAUAAACAUGACGGAUUUUUUAUUACAUUUACAUCAAGUAAGCGGAGCUCGUCCGGCUAGGCAUAAUUACCUAAUCUAAAUGGUCAUCGGCGUCUGCUCCCCGUGUCCGGCCAUGAACCCCAAGAACUGAAGCUUCGCCUUCCCUAGCUCCGCCUCGGCACUCUCCAGCUCUGCCUCCAUAACUUCCACCUCCGGAGCCAUGGGAAGCAAAGUUGUCCGCCUUCACGUCGCCGCCAAGCGGCUAAUCGGCCAACAAUGUUCAGCCAACCAAGCUUGGCUUCGACGAGAGGGGAGGAGCGGUGGCCUUCCCGGGCCCCGAGCGGCGGCGACCUACUGUGCACUAUUCUUCCUCACUGCCGGCGGCGCCCGCGGAUGUGCCGUCUUCAGCGAUGUCCUCCUCCUCCUCGUCGGUUUCGCCGAACACCGCCUUGUCGCCCUCCUUGUACGCGGCCGCCACCACCUCCGCCACCCGCUGGCGGUACCGCCUGCGGGCGAGGCGGGCGGAGCGGUAGGACUCGAGAAGCACUACCUGCUCCGCUACGUCCGCGUCCAGCGUGAUCUUCCUACCGGCGUUGAGCUGCUCCUCCGCCUGCAGGUGCUCCUGGAGAAGGUGGUGAUUGUAGGCAGCGGCGGCCUGUGCCUCCCAGAACCGCUCCUCCCACACCAUGUCCACGUAAUGGGCACGGGCCUCGCCGAUGGUCAUGGUGCAGUGCACCAGUGAGGGUGGCGCGGAGGAGGAGGAUGGUGGCGCCGACUCGUCGGCGGCGGCCGUCCUCCAUUGGGACGUCGUCGUCCUCCUGUUGCCUGCCGGCCAACCAGCUAGCAGCAAUGGCGGCCAUCUCCUUCUUCUGGUCCGGUGUCAGCCUGUCCCAGAGAGCUUUGGCGGGGGAGGAAUCCAUGGUAGGAGUGGUGCGGAGAGGGAUCGGAGGCGAAUGACUACGACUAUGGCCGGGGUAGCGGUUUAUAUAGCAAUGGCGGACGACAGAGGGACAGAUUUCUCCUAAUUUCUUUGGCGGGGGAGGAAGCCAUUUUUACUUAGGUCCAUUAUAUCACUUUGGACCUCUCCUAAUUUCUCAAGCAUUUGAACUCCCUUUUGUGAAAAAGGAGCGCACUUUAUGGUAUUAGAUUCUCAUUUCGUAAGAAUUCAUAGCGUCAUUUUCAAUGAAGUUUCUUUCAGCAACAUAAUAUGAAGUGCUCCUAUUUUGCAUGAUUAGACCUACAUAGAAAUUACUAAGAAGUAUUUUAAUUAUGGAUCUAUUAUGAGUGUCCAACAUUAUAAACUAGGCUUUAAUAUCUCCCCACUUCUUUGUUUAAAGUGAAGCACUUCUAGCUCGGGUGAAGUGGUAGGAAGUGAAUUACUAGCCAUGAUAACAAGGUUAAAAAAUGUAUAUAAUUCUUUCUUUUAAUUUUUUUAUGGUUUUUAAAUUUUUAGCAAGCAAAAAGGCAAACAAAUAGUAAAUAGAAAGUAACUAGGUAAGAUGAAUAACAAGAGAGAAAAGUGGUAAUGUGCAGGACCUAUUAAAGUUGGAAGAAAUUCCCCAACAACGGCACCCAAAAACUUGCUUGCACUCUCGUAAGAGUUGUUGGGUAACCACCCUNNNNNNNNNNNNNNNNNNNNNNNNNNNNNNNNNNNNNNNNNNNNNNNNNNNNNNNNNNNNNNNNNNNNNNNNNNNNNNNNNNNNNNNNNNNNNNNNNNNNNNNNNNNNNNNNNNNNNNNNNNNNNNNNNNNNNNNNNNNNNNNNNNNNNNNNNNNNNNNNNNNNNNNNNNNNNNNNNNNNNNNNNNNNNNNNNNNNNNNNNNNNNNNNNNNNNNNNNNNNNNNNNNNNNNNNNNNNNNNNNNNNNNNNNNNNNNNNNNNNNNNNNNNCAAAGGUUUAUCGAACCAGUAGGGAUUUCUUCAGCAACCUAAAUCGUCGGUACCUGCACACCAAACACAAAAUACUCUUCCCCCAGUGUUUCAAGAACGUUGUCAAGCUUCUUGUGCUGCUAGUUACAAGGAUAGAUUAUAUGGUAUGGUAGGAAUUGAUAAAUAGGACAAAAUAAUAAAUUGGAACAGCGAGAAAAGUAAUUAUAACGGUGUACAUAAUAACAUAAUAUAGAGUUAUGACUAUGAUCAUUCAUGGCACAAUCUCAUAUAGGCAUAAUGUCCACGAUAUGUAGGUCAUUAUCCAACUAGAACUAUAACUAAUACUCUACCUAAAGACCACUAUCCAGCAUGCAUCUCAAAGUAUUAAGUUCAUAAUAAAUAGUAGAGUACUACAAUAAGAAAGAUGACAUGAUGUAGACAGUAAAAUUAUCAUCCAAGUGUGAUAAAGAAACCAUCAUUUUAUCCUUAGAAGCAAGUAGCAACAAUACAAUUCGUGCUCAUUCCCUUUCUGUCACUGGGAUGGAUCACCGCAAGUUGUACCCACUACCGCACACAACUCCCUCUGAAGAACUACUUAUGAAACUUGAGUGAAGUAGACAAAUAGAUCAGAGAGCAUAUACGGCUAUCUAAUUACGCAGCAAAGAAUUCCCUCAAAAAAAAUUAUGCAGCAAAGAACUCAUAAUUGAUUCACUAUAGUUCAAUGAACAAUAUGAUCAUAAAGUGAUUGUUCAUCAUGUCCCAACAAACACAAAACCGCAUUACAUGAUAUGGAACCUGAUCAUGUGAGGCAACUCAUGGGAACUUUGUAUUGAAUCGCAAGAGAGAGAGGAUGCCAUCUAGCUAGUGCUAUCGACCCAAGGUCCUAAGGGAACUACUCACACAAGGUUGUGGUGGAAGCAAGGUUGAUGAAGAUGGCUCAGGUGAUUGAUUCCCUCUCCGGUAGGGUGUUGGAACAGGCCUCCAGAUUGGAUCUGAAAAUACAGGAACUUGCGGCGGUGGAAAAAGUCACGAAAAAAUGGUACAGAGAAUUUCUGGAAUUCUGGGAUCUAUAGGUAAAAGAUGACGAAAAGCAGUGGCUANNNNNNNNNNNNNNNNNNNNNNNNNNNNNNNNNNNNNNNNNNNNNNNNNNNNNNNNNNNNNNNNNNNNNNNNNNNNNNNNNNNNNNNNNNNNNNNNNNNNNNNNNNNNNNNNNNNNNNNNNNNNNNNNNNNNNNNNNNNNNNNNNNNNNNNNNNNNNNNNNNNNNNNNNNNNNNNNNNNNNNNNNNNNNNAUCCCCAAGUUAUUUUGAGCUCCGUAAAUACGGAUUUUCUGUAAAAUCAAAAACAUGCAGAAAACACCAACUAGCUCUACGCAUUGAACUAAAAGGUUAGUCUAGAAAAAUAAUAUAGAUUGAUACAAAAGUAUUCAAAAGUGAUAUUAUAAUAGCAUGAAAUAAUCAAAAAUAUAGAUAUGUAUGAGACUUAUCACGGGCCAAACUCGCUCAGCGACCAAAGCCCUCCGUCCUCCUCAUGUGAUUUGGCACACUGCGGACUCGCCCUCUCGGGAUUAUAGUUGGGGUCGUCCUCGGCACCACCAAUGUUGUCGUUGCCAUUGCCAUGGACAUCGUUGUUGUUGUUGUUGAUGAUGAUGAUGUUGCACGCACUGUCGUUUGGCGUGUUCACCAUGUAGCACUCGUAGGUCGAGGUCGCCUGCCAUUUACGUAAGGGCGCCAUGGCUGACGGGCGGUUGUCCGGGGUUUGGCCGACCUCCUCUUCCAUGUCUUCUGUCUCCUUGGAGGUUCCUUCGAGGAAGUCAGUGAGAACUUCGAUGUUGCCAACGAGAUGGGUGGUGGGUGAGUCAAAAAUGACUUCUUCCAGCAGCUCCAAGAUCCAAUCUGACGUCGAGAUCGGGAUACGCGGCCUCUGCUACCCUCGGUUCUUGUGAGACACUAAACCCGAGAAGAUUAUCACUCCGCAGCAAUUGGCGAUGUACUCCAUGUUGUCGAAUCUUACGAUCUGGCCUAGAGCGAAAGCCUGACCUGGUCGAGGUGGCCGGUUGAGUUAGCGAAAAGGGUGACACCGCGAAAGACAAACAUCUGCCUCGGCGGGAAGGUCGCGUUGGAACCGAUCUGAGUGUUGAUCUGAACUCUCAUCGAGUCACGGUGUUCACCUGCCAGGAGCUGCAUGGACCUCCACUGUCGGAGCUAAAUCCGUAAGAUCCCCUAGUAGGAUAUCAUAGUUAGGCGAGUUCGCACGAUAGUAAUAGGAGGCAAGGUCUACCCAGGUUCAAGCUCUCCAGAGGACAUAAUAUCCUAUGUCAUGCUUGUGUUUUAUUGUGUUGGAGUGUGUGCAAAAGUACAGGUAAACUACCAAGGGAUUCAAUAUGAUCUAUGACUAGCUCGACCCCUUGCUUGCACAACACCGGGGACUAGGGUUUACGCUACUAGGUCGGUCACGUCGAUGGAUACAGAGGCCUCCACGGAUCCGGUAUCUUCGAACUGUGCUCCAAGUCUUACGGAAUCUUCACAUAGUCCGCUAUGGGACGCCCAAAGUGGCCCUAGACAAAACCGACAAUGGGGGUCAUAGCCCGGCCCACCAAGCCGAGAACCGACAUGGUGAGGAUCCCCUUGAUACGUCUCCAAUGUAUCUAUACUUUUUUUUAUUGUUCCAUGCUAUUAUAGUAUCAAUCUUGGAUGUUUCAUAUGCAAUUAUAUAUCAAUUUUUGGGACUAACCUAUUAACCUAGUGCCAAGUGUCAGUUGUUGUUUUCUUGCCUGUUUUUUGGUUUUCCAGGAAAUCAGUACCAAACAGAGUCCAAACGGUACGAACCUUUUUGACCAUUUUUUUCUAGACAAGAGAGACCCUAGAAGCUUUGGGAGUAGGUCAGAAGGCAAAUGAGGAUACGGCAAGGCAACAGGGUGCGCCCAAGGGGUAGGCGUGCCAAAAUGCCUUGUGGGCCCCACAUGGCUCCGUCUGAUCUAAUUCCACCUUUAUAAAUUCUCUAAAAUCAAGAACCCAACAGAGAGCCAGUCAAAACACUUUUUCACUGCCGCAAGCUUCUGUUCUUUUGUGAUCCCAUCUGGAGGCCUUUUUCGGUACUCCGUCGAAGGGGAAUCAAUGACGGAGGGCUUCUACAUCAUCAAUCCUUGCUGCCUUCUAAUGAUGCGUGAGUAGUUUACCACAGACCUACGGGUCCAUAGCUAGUAGCUAGAUGACUUCUUCUCUCUCUUUGAUCUUUGAUACAAUGUCUCAUCGAUGUUCUUGGAGUUCUAUUCAAUAUAAGCUUCUUUUGCGGUGUGUUUGUUGGGAUCCGAUGAAUUAUGGAUUUAUGAUCAGAUUAUUCAUGGUAAAUAUUUGAGUCUUUUCUGAAUUCUUUUAUGCAUGAUUUAUAUAGCUUUGUAUUUCUCUCUGAUCUAUCUAUUUGGUUUAGCCAACUAGAUUGAUUUAUCUUGCAAUGGGAGAGGUGCUUUGUAAUGGGUUCAAUCUUGCGGUGCUCUAUAUCUCAGUGACAGAAGGGGACAAGAGACGUAUUUGUAUUGUUGCCGGGAACACGACGGGGUUUAUUCAUAUUGGCUGGAUUUACUUUGUCUACAUCAUGUCAUCUUGCUUAAGGCGUUACUCCGUUUUUAUUAACUUAAUACUCUAGAUGCAUUCUGGAUAGCGGUCGAUGGAUGGAGUAAUAUUAGUAGAUGCUGGCAGGAGUCGAUCUACUUGUCUCAGACGUGAUGCCUAUAUACAUGAUCAUUGUCUUAUAUAUCGUCAUAACUAUACAUUUUUUCUAUCAAUUGCCCAACAGUAAUUUGUUUACCAAUGUAUACCUUUUGUUCGAGAGAGAAGACUCUAGUGAAAACUAUGGCCCCCGGGUCUAAUUUUAUCCUAUAUAAAAUCCAAAAAUACCUUGCUGCAAUUUAUUUACCGUUCUUUUAUUUUGUGUUUUAUUUUAUUUACCUAUCACUACGAGAUUUGAUCCUUCCAAUUAACCGCCGAGGGUAUUGACAACCCCUUUGAUCGCGUUGAGUGCAAAUAUUUGUUUUUGUGUAUGUAGGUACUGUCAACGAGGAUUUGCGUGGUUCUCCUACUGGAUUGAUAAUAUUUGUAGUUUGAUAUUGUAGCCGGCAAAUAUUUGUAAUUCCAAUCGCCCAUAAGGAAAGAGUCACCAACACCUACAAUAUCAAACUAGUAUUACUUCUUUUUCGUUGGAUAUGUUUUAUAUUAUAUAAUUACUUUUACGUGGGACAUAAUGUUUUACUUUUGAGGAACCACCACAAUCUCUGUCUAUUUAUUUAGAAAAUAACUAGUCCAGAUUAUAUGAGAAUUUUGUAAUAAUUUUUUAGUCGACACAAUAUAAUUUCAUGAAAUCAAGUAGGAAUCGAGACAUGCUGCCAGGAUAUCUAUCCUAGCGCCCAUUGUUAACUCUUACUUUCUAAAUGCUCUUAAAUCUUCAUUAUUUUCUUAGUUACCUUUUAUCUAUUUUAUUUUUUGGGUUCUGGAUUUGUAAAGUUCUUGAUUAAGGAGUGCAAGUUUCCUAAAACUUUUUUUUGUGUCUGUUCUUGAUUUAUAGGGUUAUUAAUUUAAGGUUGGAUCGAUGCAUUAGUGUUUUAGGUUGGAUCAAUACGCAUUGUUUGUAACCUAGUUUUUUUGGUUGAGGAAGGAAAAUUUCAUUCUUAACUUUUUUAUCUAAUCAAUGUAUGUUAUUUUAUUGAUACGUUAUUUGAUUAUUUAUAUAAAAAAACUUUUUUGGUUUAACUAACAGCAUUAACACCUCAAAAUGCACAUUUAUAAUAAGGUACAAAUUUGUCAUUCAAUGAAUUUAUUCACCAUUACCAAAACAUUUGUUGUGCUACAUUGAAACUGUAUUUUGUUACAAAGCAUGUUUGUAUUAUUUAUUUAAUGGUGUUUAAGAAAAAUCAACUAUUACAUUUUUUUGACAAUAAAGCAAAGAGGAAACCGAUACUUUCACAUUAUUGCACCAAUUAACAUAUACCCUUUGACAUAUUAUAAUGUGUUUGUGUAUGUAACAUUAAAUAUCUUUAGAACUUGGUAGAGUGAUUUUAGAGUAUAUGGAUGUAAAAUAGCUUAAGAUGUAUGGAGUUCAAGACUGUGAAGUUUAACUGUAACUAAACAGAUAUUUCUAAAGUGCAUGAAGUGCCAAUCAAUAGUCAUCUCCUCAUUGGCUCUCGCUUUAGCAGGUCGAUUUCGGAACUACUUCCAUUUUGUGGAGAAUUACAUCUUCCAUUGUGUGCCAACCUGAUCCAAAACUCGUGGAUGGUGGUUCUCUCCUCCUUCUGGACUCGCUCUUUUUCUUUCUCGUGCAACUAACAGCUAGGGUUUCACCCGCACCACCUUCUAUCUCGAUAGUCGCUGCAACCAUCUACCAGUCUACCAGCCUGCUCGCACAGUACUAGCCGACAAAAAGGAGAAAUUGCAAGGAAGGGAAGACAUAAUCGCAUCACUUCCAUGCACUGCCACCUUGCCAGUGAUAGCCGUGUCUGUUGGAAAAGGCAGUGCCUAGGAGGCGUUUAGGCACGCCUAGGCGCUAGGCAAUGGCCAAACACCUCGCCUAGGGCAUAAAUGGAGGUCUAGGCAGGGCAAGCAAGGAAUUGCCUACUUAAGCAAGAAAUAAUGCCGCAUACUACACUGAUAUGUCAAACGGAUUGUAUUCCAAUGGCAGUAGAUGGUAAUUAAUUUAUUUAUAUGCCCUAAACUAAUAUCAACACCCAUAUAAUAAUCAUAAAUACACUACGAGUAAAAACUAUAUUACCGCCUAGGCUGCCCCUAGGGCGCUUAGGCACCGCCUAGGCACUAAGCAAAGGCCAACCGCCUCGCUUACGUCUACCGUUUUUUCUAACCUUAUGUGCACCAAUACAGUGCCUCGUAGUUGUCACUGCCUGUCAGAUGCGCCGCCAUGGCAAUGUUCACCAAAACCAGUGAGGGAGAGAAAGGUCGCGCCUCACACCACCUCGCAACGUGACAGAGCCAACGAGUAGUGCAUCCAGCUAGAUCCGCCUGAUCCAACAAACAUAGCUGAUGUCGAACUGCAUCAGCCCGGCGCCUGCCUACAUAUUCGAUCCGCAGAUAGGAUGUUGAAUCCACGCAUGACCACCACCGACAAGACGCCCACCUCAGGCGCACUCUCAGAGGUUGAUGGGGGCGUUGUCAAUGGGGUGAUACACCAUGUCCUCCUACGUCGCCAACGACAGCAUGUAGAGGACGUCACCUCGAGGAGUAUUUAACCAAAAACUACCACAUUUCAUGGAAACGUGUUGAAAAACUACCACUUUACGAUUUUGUGCGAAAAACUACCAUUUUUUCCUAAUCCGUGCCAAAAAACUACCAUGUCGCGAAAUCGCUUGCUUCGCCCGUGCUAAGCACAAAUCUGACCAGUUGGGCCCACGAACAUGGUGCCACCGUGGCCAUCCUUCGCGCCAGAGUUCACGGAAGCUUCCCUGCUCUCCGGCCGCCGCCAGCACGCCAUGCUCCCGCUCGCCGCCGCAAGGGCCUGCCUUUCCUCCCCGGCGCCUCCGCCGAGACCCCAACCCCGAGCGGCGCCUCUCUCCCCCCUUCACCGUCUCCGCUCCACUGCCACGCUGCCCAGACCCGCCAGGAUCCCCCUCCUCCGCCCGCUCGGGGCCACCGCGGGCGCCGGCGCGUCGUCGCGGCCCGCGAGGGACCGUGUGAUCGAGUUCGGCAAGCACAAGGGCCAGAUGCUAGGCACGCUGCCGCCGUCCUACCUGCGCUGGGUGGUCGCGGAGCUCGACUGCGGGGACACGCUGGUCUGGGCGCGCCUGGCGCGCGAGGUGCUCGACGACCCCGUCUAUGUCAACCGCGUCGAGUGGGAGCACGCGCACCGCUUCCUCCGCGGCGACUCCAAGUUCGACUACGUCUACGACGACGGCGACGGGCCCCUCCAGGAGAUGGCCGAGCGCUUCGGCUGGGAUCUCUCCGACGAGGACGGCUGGGCCGCCUCGACUUCCGCCUCCUCGACACCUCCUACGGUGGCCGCAUCCCGAGGAAGGCCGACCGGCGCCAGAGCACCGGCAGCGGCAGCGGCAGCAACAGAUCCCCCCACGGCGGCGGCGCCCUGUUCGACACCGGGGCGGCCGACCCGGACGGGCCGAGGGGGAAGAGGGACGAGAGGAGGGAGCGGACGCGGACGAGGAGGGAGGAGCAGGUGAGGACGGCGAAACUGGAUGUGCUCGGCGCGAAGGAUGGCCACGGUGGCAUUUGGUUCAUGGGCCCAACCGGUCAGAUUUGUGCUUAGCGCGGGCGAAGCGAGCGAUUUCGCGACUUGAUAGUUUUUUUGCCACGGAUUAGGAAAAAAGUGGUAGUUUUUUGCACAAAAUCGUAAAGUGGUAGUUUUUCGACACGCUUCCAUGAAAUGUGGUAGUUUUUGGUUAAAUACUCCACCUGGAGAGGUUGAUGGGAGAAGGGAAGGUCGAGCAAUGGGAGGGGUGGCAGAUGACAACGGUUCAGUCGGUUGAGACACCAUGGAGAGGAGGAAGACAGAUGUUGCACUCUUACAACAUCAGCUGAUCUAAACAAAGAUUCUGACGCUGUUCCAAUCUUUUUUUUUAUUAUUGUUGGGAAUGAAUCAAUACAAGGACGCCCUUCCUAUUAAUCAAGGAUUACAAAAACAAACCCUAGACCUAAACUCUCUCUCUCUCUCUCUCUUUUCUCUCACAUAGAAUACAUUCUACAAAAAAAACUCUUUCAGUGCUGCUUCUGGGGUUGCCAGUGUUGUGACAAGCGAAACCCCAAAAAGGCCCCACUGCAACCAGCCAAUACAAAUUUUGACUCGACCGACCGACCUCAACUUCCUAUAACCUACAAGGCGCGCACCUGCACCGCCUUUUCCGACUCGACAAAAACAGAGUUCCUCUCGUCACAUUUCAAUUCUUACCGCGCUACACUUUGAGCAGACCUGUAUAACCAGAGGACAGUAUACAACACCAGCCAACCAACCAACCCAGGCAGGCAGAAUCAAUCAACCAAUCGCAUCAUCAUAUAGGAAAUCACACAAUGUGCUACACCCGGGACACCUGAUUGCGCAAUCUCAUGCCCUUCCCUCCUUUUCUCAUGUUCAACUCCAGUGGUGAUUGUAUAGCAAGAACCGGUGGCGCAGGGCUCUCAGCGCCGUCAGACCCCGUAUCUCGCUAAUCUCUGCACCACUGCUGGUUCCAGGGUGGACAUGCACUGUUCCCAGCCGGCAGCUCCGAGCAUCUAGGAGGAAAGAAAGAUCACCGUCAGUUUCUUGCAUACAGCAUACACAAACUGAAACGACGACGACCACAAAAAGGCCCCGCUGUUUUUUACCUGCUUGUAGCCAUUCAAAAUCUGGGACACUUCAUUGUGCAAACCUUCGCUUUUUAUCUCCUGUGCACAGAUAAAAGUGAGCUCAUACAUGCGACGCUACUCUAGGCAUACGGAUGUAACAGAAACGACUAACUUACAUUCCAACUUGCACAGGCCUGGCAUACGUUGGCUAGUGAGCUCACAGCCCCUGUGGGGUUUGCUGCCACCUAGUGGUGCACACACAAGAGUUUUUGUUGUAAGUGACCAUUCGCAUCUAUGAAGAGUGUAAUAGCAAGUACUAUUAUGUAAAGAGCUGCGAGUUUACCAUUGCGCAAAGACCAUGGAACGCAUCCUCUUUCUCGAAAUCAUCUCUUAUCCUGUACAACAAGGAAAUUAACUCCGAGAAGCAUUGCACGAAAGCAUAAAGAAAAACCAUGCUCCACAUCUCAUAUGCAAUCAAACUACAAACAACAAAUCUUUGCCUAUAGCAUAAAAGCUACAGAAAGAAAAAAGGAAUGCUCACAUGCACAAGGCAUUGCACCAGGCUUGCAUGAAAUGCUCCAUAUGAGGGGCCACAAUGUCUGGACAGACCCAUGAAAGCCUCCCGAGAGUGAUCGCACUAUUUUCAAUGAGUGACUUAUUCAAGCUCUGUAAAUGGCACGACAAACAACACACUUAGCUGAAAUGAUCAGUCGCCUAGAGAACAUGAUGGGGAAAAAGGCAAUCACCUCUGGGGUUGUUAGAAUAGGAACCAAGCAUGAAACAACACUGAUCACCACAGGUGAAAUUUCCUUGCCAAUCUGCCAAGGAAUAGUCAAUCAGACAUGCAAGAAUUUUUACAAUAAUACUAAUGAGCACUAAGUAUGCUUGACUUUAAGGCACGAAACAGAGAGCACCCGCUGCCCACAACUCUUAUAUAUACAGUUUUGAAAUUGUUAUGGGGCAAGUAGCAAUACAUGUCAAAGGGCUGGCGCUACAAGUAGUAAACAAAGGUAUAUUCUGAGAAACUUUACAAUAAUGAUGAGCACUAGUACGUUUGACUUCCAGGCACAAAACAGAGAGCACCCACUGCCCACAACUUAUACAGGUAGAGUUUUGAAAUUGCUAUGGGGCAAGUGGCAGUACAUGUCAAACGACUGGAGCUACAAGUAGUAAACAAAAGGCAUAUGCUAAAAAACAACUCAAGGGAUAUGCAAAUAAUAUACUGGCCAAUAAUAAUACGCUUGGCACAAACCUUGAUUGCUAAUUCUCCAAUGGCCCAACAAGCAUUGUUGGCAACUGACACAGCAUCCUUCACAGAUUGUGGAGUCUAGAUCAAAGAAACAAUGUGAGGAACAAAUGGAGAUAAAAUAAUGCUGGACCACAAAGAACAUAGGCACUUAGUCACUUACCAAUUGCUUUGCUGCAGCAGUAAGGAAUUCUUGGAGGCGUGGCUGAAGAUGUAUAGGGCAGACCUAUAUACAAAAAGGUGUUAUAGUCUCAAAAUUGACAUAGCGAUGACAAAGAUCAGUUUAGGAGCUUUGCAACCAACCCUAGAAAUGUCGCCAAGAAGGGCCAGAGCACUUUGUCGAACAUCAGGUGCCUCAUCCACGCAGCAUUGCAGAAGUAGAUCUCUCAAGUUGCUUUGUGCAACCUAAAACAAAGAUAAAGAUAGCUUGCCCAAUAAGAAAGUCUUCCUGGUAUGAUAAAAUUUACUAGCCAAACUCAACUCACUGUCAGUACUGUGUAAGGGGUGUAUGAGCCUUAACGAGUGUGUAUUUUAGCAUAUUAUGAAGAACAUGUACUACAUGAUACUAAUAAAUUUAAUUUUCUUUUCGCCAUAAGUUGCCAGCACAUGCAGCCCCCUCAAAUUACUGAGGUAGUUCGAUGUUGAGAACGUGAUGCAGGAAAAGUGAAUAUCAUUGAUGGGAGAGUUGAAUUUACCAGACUUUCAAUACCGCCACCAAGUCCUUCUGUAAGUCCAGACAACAGGUCCAAUGCACAGACAAUGAAUUCCUUAUCAUACAACGCACCUGCUGCAGCAGGAUCAACCUGCAUGUAGAAAGGAGAUAUCCCUUAAGCAACAGAACCGGAUGAGCUUGUCUCAUGUAUUAAACCCUAUAGCAAGCUCCAGCAAAGAUUGAUGUCAAAUUGGCAAACAGAUUGAUUUUUAAGUUGGCAUAAUCCAGGGUACUUAAAAGAUCGGAGUACCAGAAACCAAGCAAACAGGAGAAGAAAAUCUCUAUGCUUAAGACUACAAAACUUAUGACAGAUGUUCACAGAAUGUGACUCUAAUUAGGAGCAACUUCAUCAAGUGUCUUCUAUACCAACAAGAAUGAUGAAGAUAAAUUGUGUAUGUGGUUUUCACCAAUUCGUACAAAUACAAGAAGGUAUAGGCUGAAAAGAUCCUACUUGAGAUCAUAAUAUUAUUAUUAAUUCCUCUUCCAUAAAUGACCAAAAAAGACACAUUAAGCAUUCAGUGAUGAACACUGCAUUAUUAAGGCAUCAAUUAAGACAAAAAAAUUGCUUGUUAGAGCAUGGGAAUGUGUUUGUGCCUUUGUGGUUAGACUUGAUGUACAGAUCAUAGUAGAUAUUUAAGUUAAAUCUACCCUUAAAGUGGAAGGGGAAGGGGGGGGGGAUUGUGCAGACCUUUGCCAACUGCUGAGUUUGGAUAAGACUGAUGCACCUCACAAACACUGGCUCAGCAAACUGAGAAAAUCCUGGUCCCAGUGCCUGAAAGGAAAAGGUCCAUAGGAAUUCCUAAUGUUAUUUUGAGUACAAUAAGACAGGAUUCAACAGAGGUUAUUUAAGAGGCCACUCAUCCUGUCCUGACCCACAAUGAAAUGCAAAGUAAUUCUGCUUUGGUAGAACGAGAACUAACUAACUCAGCAAACCAAUUGCUGCAGUAGGAGUUAUAUUGGAUGAAAAAGACAUGCGCGAGAACUUUACACAUUCUUGUAGUACAGUAUCAAGAUAGGCAACUGUUAGCAGUACUACAGAUCUUUCACAUAGAUACAACAAGUAAAGACUUCAAAACGAGUACAAGCUAGUCACAGAUGAAAAUAUUAGCAAUACCUGUGCAAUAGAUGUAAAGCAUUCAAGUAGCGGAAAUAGAUCCUUGUCAGAGUUGGGAAGUUGCUGCCACUUCGCGAUUAAUGGUGGCAUAAAUAUAUCAAGAUAUUUUGCCUGCAUGACAUCAUUUAGAAGGGAUUAAUAAUCUUGAUAAGGAACUAACACCAUGGAAAACUGAAUGAGGAAACCAUCAAAGAAGUUUAUUUGAUAAGUCAAAGAACAAGCAAAAGGGGAAUUUAUCAAAUGUUGAACCUGGUUUAGCUCUGCUCCAACAGCAUCAGCAAGGGUACCAAGAGCGUCAUAGAGUAUCCUAAGGUUCCGCCUCUGCUCAGAAGGAAAACAUAGCAUUAGAACUAAGAAGUGAACUUGCCCCGUUUCGGUAUACAAGGUCAACCUCGUGUUUGAGUCUAACUACCAUGAACUUGGACAGGUGGUCUUGUAUAGCGAAAUGGAGGGAAUAGCUGAUUGCAAACUAUAAAUGUUUGAAAUCUAAUGAACCUGGUAUUUUCCAUAUGCACACAUAAGGUGCUGCAAAAUGACUUCCAGUCGCGGUACUAGUUCUUCUGCAGCCUCCUGAAGAACAGAAGCCAAUAUGUCAUAAUUAGUAAUUACACACAAGAUCUCAGUGCAGGAAAUCAACUCAAAAAUAGAUAAAGAACCUCUUCAAGCGUUGCAAAUGCAGAACAGGCAGCCUCCUGCACUCUUUUGUUAGUAUCCAAUAUCCUUCUAAGCAAACCCAUGAGAAUCUUAUCAAAUUGUUCGCGACCAUUUGGAUGGCCAAGGCUCUGCGCCAGCAAAAAAAGAAGUGUAAUAAGAAGUUAAGAGAGACAAAUCUACGAACUGAGGACACAUAAACAAAGUCCACUUCAGUAAAACAUUGUCUGAAGUCCACAGUAGAACCCUUUGGGUACCUACCCCCGGAAACAUUAGAGACCACUGGGUGUAUACAUUGAAGUGAGUGGUUCACCAGUACAGGCUUAAAUACACAACAUAUUAUACAUGUACCAACGCAACCAAAAAUGCUACAUGUUCUAAUGGCACUACAUGGUAGGUAGAAAAAAAUCAAGCCUUUGCAGGAAAAGGUAUACUUCCAAACAGACGAUGUAGCAUCAAUACAUAUGAUUAUUCUGUUACCUGAACAAUGAACUUGCUGUAUCGGGAGAGGGUCCAGCAAGUAAUACUCCGAAUAAGAGGAAACUUAUCAUCGAGAAGUGGGAUUAGGAAGGCAACCAUCUGCAAUGGAACAGAACAUCUCAGAAAAGAUACAGCAAACUGCAAGCGAUGUAGAGAGAUAGUUGAAGACAGGAAAAGUAAUAAUUGAACCGCAACUCACUAGAGUCCAAAAUCUCACAGAUAACACAGAUCAUGGAAGAAUGUGAAAUUUAUCAUGCAGGAACUAUUAAUGCAACUGAAUUUUUUAAAAGAUUUUAUCACAUGCUGAGAAGAAAAUUCUCAGAUAUGUUAUAGAAGGUUCAUGAGAGAAGCAAGUAAUCAGGCUAAUUAAAAUGCUUCUGAAGACUAAAUUCAGGAAAAUUAUCAGCCAUGGUCGUCUCAAUAUGAUUUGAUGCAUGGCAUGUGUUCUUGCUGUUACUGAGGCUUAGUCAAGAGAGGAAUUGCUUUCUUGCAACGUAUAUGGGGCUAUGAAUAUGUCGUUGGUUACCUGUGGAAGGUGGGGAUAUAACCCAGUGAUGCAUCCCUCUGCUAUAGCACCAAUCGAUAAAACAGCAGCUUCCCGCUCCUUCCAGGACUCAUCAUCUGUCCGAGCCAAAUUUUGCUGCAAAAUUGCAGAAGUUGAUGUAUGGUUAUCCAACGGGUUCAAGAGCAGCACUAAAUAUUGUACCAAGCACCAAUUAUAACAGAAAGGCCCUUGAACACACACAUGGGCCAAAAAAGCCUAUCGUACCAUGGGUGAGAUUAUGCAAACUUCCAGUUACUAGAGACCUACCGGCUACCGCAGUAACAGGUUUCAGGGUUUGGAUUUUACACCUUUGACAACAGUGCAGCUUUAGAUAAUAGUACUCCAGCUUUUAAGUUAUCUGUGCCACUGACUACCAGCAGCCUACUGCCUACAUCAAGACAAAUCAUAACUGGCACACUUAAGCCACUGUCCUGAAUCGUUUCUAAGGAGCCUGACCUACUCUACUUCUAUGUGAACUCAAGGCCCAUAGUAACUGUAAACUUACUAUAACAGGUCAGGGGAAGUGGCCGGACCCUUCCCCGAAACCUGCGCAAACGGGAGCUACAUGCACCGGGCUGCCCCUUUUUUUGAGUAACAAUUCAAGGCUUCAAGUCAGUGAAGCAUUGCAACCUCAACUAAGAUCAACAGUUUAUAAGCUUUAUAGUCUCCAGAACUACGAAUAGAUUACCUGAAUCAAAGGCAUUAAAGUCGGAAGAAUGUCGUCCCCAAAAACAUUAGAAAGGACAUCCAACCCAGCAGCGCUACAUUUCCGCAAGUUCCAAGCAUUUACAGCAUCAUCAUCAUCCUGUCCAUAUGGUCAUUAAGUUUUUGCAGCUUUAAAUUAACAAGUAGGCAAAAAAGUAAUUAGGCGGCUUAAAAAAAUGUUUCCAAACUCACAUCCUCUUCUCCAUUUUCAGAUCCAUGCAACCGAGAGGCAUGGAAACGGGGCUUCAAAUCCUGUUACAAAAUCAUCUGUAUCUUAUUUCAAGCAACAAAAAAGGGCAGAAGUCAUAAAGAUGUACAACUUACGAUGAGGGCUAUAGUAACUGUAAACUUACUGCCACCCUUCAUUUCAAGACUGUCAAUCUAAUUUAUUUUACAGCAAGGCAAAUUACAACAUGCGUGCUAAACAACCAUUGCAUUGUUCUUAACAUGCUAUUUGUAAAUACUACCAAAAGCGACUAACUUCUAUGUGUUUCACAGUUCAAAAUUACAGGACUAUGUUCAAUGCAUUACAGCAUUAUACUGACCAAAAACACAAGUCUCAUCCAAAAUAUAAUUACAGAUUACAGAUGAAUAGAGCCAACCAUUUAAUCUUAGCAGCUACCAUUGAAAACAUAUAAUUACAGAUUACACAUGCAUGGAGCCAACCAUUUAAUCUAGCAGCUAUCACUGAAACAUAUAAUUACAGAAAAAGAAAAGGUAACCAACCUGGUCCCUGUCCGGAAAGGAUUCGUCUUCCUGAAAACACAUAAUAUUUAUCAGAGCAUGCCACUAUCACACAAUAACCAGCUGAGACAUGCAGGAUAUAAAGAAGUUUACCACACACCUCAGCAUCAGCGAGUGAUUCAUCAUCGUCAGUGUAGACCAUAUUUGACACCAAAGUCUAGGAAAUAAAUACAAAGGGAAGAUGUUAAAACUGUAGACAGACCAAAGAUUAAGCAGCAUUAGCUUAGACAAGGCAAAUCAUAUACUGGUAUUAAGCGUGGCAAGAACUCCCGCAGUCCUUCAGGGGGCAUGCUAACAUCACAAUAUGCUGACCUGAAAAGGUUUACUUAUAGUCAGUCCUCUAAUAAUUCAACACAAUCAGUAAGUAAUGUCAUCAGUGCCUCAUAGUUUAUUUUGAACUUGAAGGAUGUCAGCCGAAUAAAAUGUGAGAACACAUAGGCAUGAGCAGCAAAAAUUAUAGUACGAAAUUUGAAAUUGACAUGUUAAAUUUACCAUGUGGACAGAACGCAUACCAGAAUUCACAAGCCUCCAGAGCAACUUCAUCAUCCGAAUCUUUGUUAGCUUGCAGGAUCAAUUCAGUAACAUUUUUCAAAUGUGGCUGCAGUUUUGCUAUCAAUUGUCAGAUUCAGCAUAAGCAAAUGAGUUAUCUGACUACAAAUUACUUGGUGACAACAGCAAAUGGAAUCUAAAUGGGUAUCAAAGAACAUGAUAAAUUACCUCCAAAAUUGAUGGUCGCACUUCAAUGAGCUGAACCCAGGCCGAGCAAACCUAUCAAAGAAACAAGGAGAACAAUCAAGACAAAAAUGAAAUUGAACAACUAAACUAUGCUGAGCAGUACUCAUACACCCUCAUUAUUAGCACUUGUGGACAAGUCGGCCAUGUCCAGAUCUCUAACAGCAUAAUAGGAAUCUACUGAGUUAUGCAAUAGUUGCAUUUAUAGCAUUUAAACCCUUAUCAGUACAAGUCUACAACUACAAGAUUACAAAGAAAAAGUGCAUGGGUGCACAUGUAAAUCGUUAAAAUGAAAUACCAGCUUCCGGACAUCCGCUGAAGGAUCCUUCACAAGGACGAAUAAGCCCUGCAGGUACUGAUCCAUGGCCAUGUACAACGCCUGCAUAUAAAUCGAAAUGGUUAGACAAAAAAAGCAGGAUUAGAUGGACAGGAGGGAGGGACUCAUACCGAUGGCAUCACCACGAUAUACUGGUUGAUACAGCCCAGUGAUAGUUUCCGAAGACUUGCAUGCGGGGACUGGAAAAACUGAAAAAAAGCAAUCAUAUUGGCUGUGUUAGAGGAAAACCAUGUAGAUGUGUUAAACUAGAGCAUACAAACAUGUGCACCACAGAGGCAUGCUUGGUCAAAAUAUACAGGCAGCAAAUUCAAGAAUUACAGGGUGUGCAAGUGAAAGUGCACACCCUCUACUUUAACUGUUGCUGACUAUAGAUUGAACACAAACCUGCAGCAUUCGUGGCAUGAAUACAUUAAUUGGUCGUUCAGACAAGCCAGGAACAUCGACAUCAAGCUCUUCAGGAACAUCUUCACAUAUCUGCGGGCAGAAACAAAAGCAAGCUUCAGACUUUCAGAGCACACUAAUCAUGUUCAGAAGUUAACACAUACGAUUUACAUUGCUAGUGGGACUUCCAUAGAUGUGGGCAUUUGAAAAAGUCCACUCUUUUCUCAAGAUAUACAUUGUUUGAGAACAUGUAGAUUGUCAGUCAAAGUAUAUCUAAUUCUGUGCACACAAAAAGGGCAAGGUUUUUGGGUCUGAAAAUAACUACAAGUGCACAAAGUAUUUUUUGCACAGCACAGAUCGACAUGGUUUUGGACCAAAGUUAGAGAUUUCACUUAAUAUACCAAUGUACAUGCAAAUUGUUCUUCAGAUAUUUUCAAAACAGGGAAGUGGGCAAAAGCAACCAGGUGUGCAUCCACCAAUGCAUUUCCGACUUCCCUCAAACCAUAUAGCUGCAACUAGUGGUAGUUCUCUAUGCACCGAAAUACAGAUUAGAAUUCAAACUCAAAUAUAGAAGGAGUAAUGCAUAGUACCUUGUAGAUAGCAUCCAUAGCACCUUCCAUAUGAUCCAGAUCAUUACUGUCCAAACAUUGAUGUAGGGCCUGAAACAACUCGAUCCAUCCAGUAACUCCAACAAUUUGAAAAAGUACACUGAUAACUGUUCCAACUGUGGACCUAAUUGCCCUGUUAUUUGCCCCUAUACAUGGCAACAACUCUGAUUUGAUGUAUUGCUGAGAUGACGGAGGCAUGGAAACAAAAGCCGCCCGCAGAUUGUUUUUCAAUAGAAGACCGGCAGCUUGACGUACUUCAAAAGAUUUUCCCUGAUAUAAGCAGAAGAGUUACCCAGAUGUCAGCAAGACCUAUAUACAGUAGCUGGAUUAACAGUCAUAACCAUGUAAUGAAUUCAAGACCAAAAUUAACUCAUAGGCCGACAAUCAACAGACUUACUGAAAGCUAAAUCUACAUGAGAUGUGAACCCGUAUAAAAAAGGAUAAAAUAUUGUUCAAAAAAGAAAUCUAAUAAAAAAGGAAACCAUGUUUUCUCGUCUUAACUUUUUAUAGAGUCUUUGUGCUUUCAUUGAACAAAUAACAUGCCAGAAACUGAGAGACAUGAUACAGUUAAUUGUUUAACAUAUUGAUGCCUGAGUUGUUAUCUGAUAUAAAAUUAAAUUUGGCAAUAGCAUUACACGUGCAAUGUGCCAGUUGCACAGACGGGAAAGUUACAUAGAAGAUCAUAUUCAAUAAAUUAUUUCUUCAGUAGUACCCGAGACCACGUUAUCAUUGCAGACAUGUGUUCUAUCAAAUCCUUGAAGCGUAACUGAUAGCUUCAAUUCUAUCUGUAGCUCUAAGUAGCACGCGAGAGCGGUGUUCUAAAUAGUUGUCAACCCGCCUUUGAGCACAUAUGGUGCUGUCCGAGCCCACCAUAAGUCAAACCUCACUGACAAUACAUAUAGAAUAUAGAUCAAGCAACUAAGUGGAAACGCAUCGAGUUUCCAGGCGCUGGUCUUCCGGAACCGCAUUGUCCUUCCGGGACCAUGUGCCUUUCAUUCAAUCACUUGAUUCACAGAUGUAACUGACUUGAUCGUUCAUCCAUAAAUCAUAUGCGUCUGCGCUGGCAGGUGGUAUCGACAUGAAACGUAACCCCCCAGAGACUCGGUAUCAGCCAAAAUAACUUUACCAAGAGCGGAUGCAUCACACGUUCGCAGAACCCCAAUUAAACCCGGCCCCGUAGCAGCACGACAAAUUGACCACCACCAGCACAUUUGUUCAAACCAAAGAGCCGCACCACGAAACCCUCGCUGAUUGGUUCAGCGGAUUCAUCGGACACACCCGUUGAAAAUAAGCAGGCAGUGCAGAAAGUGAAACUCCAGACACGACCGUCAAAUCUAUGCGGCAGCCAAGCAGAUGCACUCAGCAUUUCGCCCCCAAAACCCCAGAUGCUAUUGGCAUUCCGUCCGCUGGGCUUGUCACAUGGGAGCCAAUCCGAGCCCUAUCCCACCAAUCAGACAUUGCAACAGGCAGACCUAGCAGCGGGAUUCUAGAUCGAAACAGGCAGCGCGCAGGCGGGGACCCCAUUAUUAUCCGGUCCCUGGAGCAUCAGAGGGCGGCUCGGACUAAAACCCUAGCGCGACGGGGCACGGGAAGCAGGCGAGCGAGCGACGGAGGACGGCGGCGAGGGGAUAAGGGGGGCGGCGGGCGGAGACGGCGUGGUGUUACCUGGCCGCGGGCGAGGAGGAAGACGAGGUAGUUGUUGAAGUCGGGGAACUGGGCGUAGUGCUGGAGCUGCUGCCAGAUGCGGGCCUGGUCCGAGUUGGGGGAGAUGUGCGCCUCCAGCACCGCGCAGAUCUCGCGCAGCCCCUCCUCCUGCGGCUGCCACAGCGCCGCCGCCCCGGUCGCCCCCGCCGCGGUCGCCAUCGCCGACGGUGCGCGCGCCUCGCCCGGUGGACCUGCGUUGGGUGGCGGCGGGAGAGCGGGUGCUACGGCCGACGAGGCGCGCGGCGCGGCGGAGGAGAGGGGAGCGGGGGAGGAGUGAAUCGGCGGCGGCGGCGGGAGGCGGAGGGGAGUCGAUCGUCCAACCACAGCGGGCCAAGUAGUACUCUGGAGAGGGAGCAGCAGGGGAAGGGGGAGAAGGAGGAUGCGCUGGCAAGUUUAUAGAUAGGAUCUUUGCUUCUUCCGAUUUUGCUCUUUGCUUCUUGCCCUUGUUGUGAUUGUUUGGGCUUUUUUGGAGGGGGCUGGGUGCAAAUGUGUCUGUGCCAUCAUCAUUGUGGCAAAUUAAGGUUCUAGUGUCUUCAAGUGCAAACUACCUUCACACAAGAUGGUUGUGCUUUUCACAUGCAAGGAAACAAAUAUCUCCGGCUCAUGGUGGAGACAACAAAAUCUUAUGCGAAAUUUUCAAAUUGAGUUGGAUUUCCAUCGGUGGUGAUUAGUUGUGGUUGGAUUCGCGUCCCCUCGCAGUCGGUUCCUCGCUCACACGCCAUGCAUCUCGUGUACCCUCCUCCCCCCGCCCCUUGUUUCUUUCCGCGUCAACGAUAGGGUUUGACAUUCUGUUUCUAGAAGAUUAUUAUUAUUUUCUUUUGAAACCCUUUUUUAGGCAUUUCGGGCUUUCGGGCCGAAAUCUAGAGUUGAGCCGAGCCCGACACUAUCGGGUAGGGAUCCCCAUGUGGAGAUCCUAGUGGACAGAUCGAAAGCUUAUGUGGAAAUUACGGCAGGGUAAACAGAUACUGAUGUGUAAGAUUUUAAAGUUGGUACGUUGUUCCGAUCGUUUUCCCCUCGUCAUCAAAUGGAUGUCCACAUGAUCGUGCACGCAACAGCUUAGAUAUUUUCCUACUCACGUUUUGUGCAGCCAUGUCUGUGACACACGGUGGGUGCUCCACGUGGCGAGAACCAAUUGGCGUCCGUCCUGGCUCGACCCGACAAUGCAGGCGAACAGUAAAAACACUCGCUGCGGUCGCUCGUGCAAGUGUCAACUCCAACAGUGUACUCCCUCCGUUCCUAAAUACUUGUCUUUCUAGGCAUUUCAAAUGAAUAUCACAUACGUAUGUAUGUAGACAUAUUUUAGAGCGUAGAUUCACUCAUUUUACUCCGUAUGUAGUCACUUGUUGAAAUGCCUAGAAAGACAAGUAUUUAGGAACGGAGGGAGUAGUUAUGUUCCCUCCGUGGAGCUCAUGUGAAAAUAAACUACUAAAAAUUACUGCUGGGCUGGCUGGCUCUUUCUUUCUUCACCCUUUUCACUGUCACCGCACCCUGAGUGGCUAGCUAGCUAGCUACUAGAUUCCAGUCCAAAGAGAGAAUGACAUAAAAAACGUGCACACAACAAACUCCCUAGGUGAGUGAGAAGAGAACAUUCUCUUCUCUCACAAAUAACAUCAGGAAAUGACAUGACACGACGCAGAUUAAUUGGAAGUUGAAGACACUGUUAGACACUAAUCAUCGUAGAUUAGAUUAGAUUAGAUAGGUGCGCCGUUAAUCAUGGAUUAGUGCUACUGCUCAUCGAUUGGUUCAAGGCCAGCUUGACAUAGUAGUAGUAUGAUUGAUGCCGGUGGCCACAUGGAUGAUGGAUGAUGGCGCACACGUGGCUUUUCCGACCCGCGAUCAUUGACAGGCAUCGAAAGGCACUGUUCACCGCCUAAAUCUGUGCAAGAUCAUAGUAAUUUUUCAUGGUUUAAGAAUGCAGUGAUAAAGCGGACGCACGAUCUCCGGAUGGAAAAGGCGGGUGUUUUACAGCUGGAAAUUUUACUGGGGACGGACGCAAAGCAACGCGGGGAAAAGCAAAGUGGAGGCGGCCUGGUGAAAUCAUUCGAGGAUGACCGAGGUAAAAAGAUGGGCGCGGUUAAUGGAAAUGCAACAAGCCACGAUAAUGAACAAACGUACGUGAGUCAUGAAAAGUAACGGUGGGUGAAGGAAGGAGAUGAUUUGGAGGCACCACAGCUUUUGGUUCCUCCUACCAUCCUAUAUAUCCUGUCGUCCUGCACGUCAUAAUCAAACGUCACGUGCUCACGUUUCACCCACCUCAAAUUUUCAGUAUUUCUUUAUUAUUUAUUAUUAUUAUUAACAAAAAAUGAAAGUGGUGUCAUUGCAUCUCUAAUGCUGACCCUUAAACCACCCGCAUCCAUCUGGAGCGGGCUGUGCGGACGUGUUUGGCCAUCCAACAUGUACCACACCCUCUCGGUCCCCUUUUUUUCACUCCGCCCCCGCUCCCCCUCCCUUUCAUCCACACUCUCAUCGCCCGCCGCCGCCCAAGCAUCCUUGGACAUCCACAUACCCCACUCACGCACCUGUCUACCAUGCACUACGUCGCUGUCCACCUAGGAAUUCCUCAGCAGUCAACUGCCCUCCCCACCCUUGCCGAUGCCGUCCAUGACGGACAACACGCCUGGCAGGUGUUCGGUCAAAUGCCAUUGAGUUUUUUUUCUUGAACUUCUUGUUGUUUUCUAAAGAAGCACGAUGACAGGGUACUUGGUGAUAGAGAAUGGGUUGAUGUGCGAUGCGUGGUUGGCUAUUUCUGCGGACUUUGUAGACAUGCACAAGGGCCCGGCCUUUUGGCAAAGCUUGACGUGGUUGGCCAUUUCAUAAGCGAAGGAACUUUCCACCGCAUGAUAUGCAAGUCAUCCAUGAACGCAAUGUGACGUCGGUAACACAUCACUAUCCACCAUCUUCAACUCCGUCAUGAAGUUUUAUGGUCCGAUUCACUAAGUGGAGACAAGAGGUGGCCAUUGGGCUCGUCAACCAUGGAGAUCGUAAGUGUUACUUCAUGUUACUCUACAUGUUGAUUAAUUCAUUCAUUCACUCAAUGUUGCUCUACACGUUGUAUAGCUUGCACACACUGCCAUCAUGUACUACAAGACCGAGGGCAGGUCAUUCACGCACAUACAUUAUUGGAUGAAGCUCAAGGGGCAGUUUGUGUGAAACGACAUGUGCCGGCUCCGACUCUACUGUUGUUGAAUUUGUAAUAGAUGAUUUCCAAAAACUUGUUGAACAUCCAGUUAACUCCUUGAAUUUGAACAUCUAGUUCUUUCGUUGAAUUUGUAAUAGAUGAUUUAAAAAAAAUUGUAACNNNNNNNNNNNNNNNNNNNNNNNNNNNNNNNNNNNNNNNNNNNNNNNNNNNNNNNNNNNNNNNNNNNNNNNNNNNNNNNNNNNNNNNNNNNNNNNNNNNNNNNNNNNNNNNNNNNNNNNNNNNNNNNNNNNNNNNNNNNNNNNNNNNNNNNNNNNNNNNNNNNNNNNNNNNNNNNNNNNNNNNNNNNNNNNNNNNNNNNNNNNNNNNNNNNNNNNNNNNNNNNNNNNNNNNNNNNNNNNNNNNNNNNNNNNNNNNNNNNNNNNNNNNNNNNNNNNNNNNNNNNNNNNNNNNNNNNNNNNNNNNNNNNNNNNNGAGGUCGGUCAUUGUCGUUGCUCCCGGCGAUAGCGACGAGGCGGCGGUGGCGAGGUUUGCAAGGGAGCAUCCGGAGAAUCUCCUGGCCGAGUGAGAGUUCUACUGGAAUCACGAAGAAGAAGAAGAAGAGUUUGACUCAGCGGAGUACUAGGAGCCCUCGAAGAGGGACGACGAGGUGCGACGACCCCAGCAAGGACGAGUUCUUGUUGGAGCAGUUCAAGUGCUCCGACGAGGACUAGUUUCAUCUUCGAGUAGUAGUAAUUUGAUGGAUGUAGUAGUAGUCGUUUAAUUUAUGCUUUAUUUCGAACUAUGUUUAAUUAUGUUUGAAAUGAAGUAGUACUUGAAUUUGUUAUGUUUGAAUUCGUGUUUCAAAUGAAGUAGUAGUUGAAGUUUCGUGUUUUUACAUCUUCAAUUCGCAUCAUCUAUUGGAGUUCACUUGUACAUCACCAAUAUACAUCAUCUAUUGAAGUUGCCUUUUUCUUGGAGAUGUAAAAUGCACUUUUUGAUGAUGUAAAUUAUACAUCUCCUAGUUUUACACCUUCAAAUUUACAACAUCUAUUGAAGAUGCUCUAAGGUACCAAGCACGACGCCUUAUCCCUGCGAACAACAAGCGUCGGUGGUGUUGGUACCCACUAACCCACAGAUUUUUAUUAAACAAAAAAGCUUGUCAAGCGCAGUGCAGGUCAGGAACACUAGCCCAAUGUUUAGAGCAACUCUAGCAGGCCCCUUAAACCGAGAUAAGGGCCGAGAAAAACGCGUGGGAUAUUCUCUUUUACCGCUGGACUUAGCAGCUCUGUUCGGCCGCAGCCGAUUUCGCCCCUCAAACCGUAAAACCACACGAUGCAAUUGACCAUGAUUUUGACAAAUAAAACACAAAUUCGGAGAACUCAAACACAGUUUUGACGACAUUGAACAUAGUUUUCGCGCCACAUCCCCAAAAAAUCGCAUCCAUCAUCGCUCCAUCAUCAUCAUCACAAGAUGAAAUCUUCAGCGCCACCAUUGGCACCACCACUUGCUGAACCACCACCGAACAUUGGCACUGCAUCAUCUCUUGCGGCCAUCCUCCUCCUCUCCAAGAUCUCCAACCUUGCAAUAUCAUGCCAUUCUUUGGUGACCUCAUCCAUCUCAUUUCAAUUCAUCAUCAUAAUCUUGUUCUCCUCGGCAAGAAGCUUGGCCAUGGCUUUGUUCUCGUCUGCUAUGGCUCUUCUCUCCUCAAUGGUGGCCUUGCGCAUGGUCUCCUCCUUGAGUAGUUACCACUUCUCUUGCUUCUCUUGAGCCUUCUUCUCAGCCAACUCCUUUUUUGCCUCCAAUGUCAAUAGCUCAUUGGACUUGACCAUGUGAUCUAGCUUGUCCUGCAAGCUUGAAGCCUUCGCUUCCUUCUUGAUCUUGUCCUUGGCCUUUUUGUUUUCAUCGGGCUUGUUUUUGUUUCUUGGGCCAUCGUCAUCUUCAUCAUCAUCAAUCUUGGUGAGUGCACGUCUCUUUGGUGGGGAUUCUUUGUGAAUCAACUUUCACUUCUCGCUUUCCUUGAGAAGUUCCCAACAAUGCUCUAGUUGAAAUGCCUUCUUACCGGAAGCUUCCAUGUCUUUGUACCUCUCUUGUGCAAUUUUGUCCUACAAAAUGAAAAUAAUGUCAACUUAUGCAACCACUCCGACGGCUACAAAAGAUUUGCACAACUUGGGACAUGAAAACAAACUCACAUAGUCGGAUUCAACGGUGCCGCUUGGAGGUGCAUUGCGGACUCAAAGAAGAAGAAGACGACACUAUAGAGCGAGGGAGCAUGAAGAAAGAAACAAUGUGAUGCAAACAAGAAAUCAAAAACAGGUUUGCAUUGUACUAGUAGUGUAAAAAUAAAGACAAGUGGCAUGGAGUUUUUGAACCUGAGCUCACAUGCUCUCCGGUGAACAGUAAAACCCGAAAAAUAGUAACAAAAUUGAAAAAAUCUGAUUUUUUUUGUGUGUGUGGUGAAACGACAUUCAUCGAGUCCUGGGCGGAAAAGAAAAGAAAUCGAUGCUCCGUAAAACCAUUGUUGGAACCAUCAUCUGUUUCGUAUUUUUUUUUGUCCAGACCUCCACGAAUAUCAUGUCAUCGCAAACAAUUCAAGGCAUUUAAAACAUUCAACAAUGUUUAUCAUUAAAAAAAUUCAGAUUUUCUUGUUUUCUAUUAGAAAAAAGAUUUCACUGUUCAUUAUAGAGCAUCGCAUGCACAAAACAGGCGGGCCCCGCAUGCACGCGCGCUGAGGCAACGGGGGGACGCACGCAUGGGCGCUCUGCCUUUUUCCUCCAUCUGCUGCUGCUUUCAGGGGAUGCAACCAUCCUUUUAUUGUUUCUUUAUUAUUAUUAGCGGCGGCAGCAGCAGUGACGAGUCUGCUUAAACAAAACAAAACUUGCUUAAACACGUAUUCCCUUUCGUCCGGAAUUAUUUGUCACAAAAAUGAAUAAAAGUAUAUCUACAACUAGAAUACAUUUAGAAAAGUAAUUUCGGACGGAGGAAGGAAAUACGUACAUACAUCAGGCCCCUUUCCCUUCCUUAAUCGGGGAAGACGGCCCAAAUGCUUUGCUUUUGCGUAAAGGGCGAGGGAUUGUUCCCUGCCACUGCGACACACCUACACCACAUAACCAUGCAUCAGUACAGAGGCUGGAUGGGGAUGGGAUGGCCCGGGUUGCAUUGCAUGCCAUGGAAUAUAUACUCUUUGUUACCAACAAGCAAAAAAGAUUGAGUACGACCUUAAAGCAAAGCCGCCUCCUCCUCCUCCCUCCAGUGAGUUCACUCAGUAGCAUGCAGCAUCUAGUGCAGUGUACUAGUGCAGAGCACGGCUAGUACUCACUCACUCACUCACUCACUCACUCACUCAUGUGUGAUAAGCCAACCGGGACUAAAAGUAAUGGGCAUUAGUCCUGAUAGUUUUGUCCCGGUUGCAGAACCUGGACUAAAGGCCCUCUGGAACCGGGACUAAAGGCCCGUUUUCUACUAGUGUCAAGGGGCUCCAUCCAGCCGAGGCGGGCGAUCCAUGUGCGAUGUACAGAGGAGGGGACGCGGGCGAUGGCCGACGCCUCACCUGAUUGAAACUGCUCCACUAAGACUUGAAACAUGCAAUGAUACUUCAGUUUCUGAGCGUUCAUUCAUGGCGAGUGAUGUGCUCAUCAUUUCCGAUGCCGAGGGGUAUAGGUACAUAUAUAUAUUCUUCCUUCCCUACCACUCUCCGUUCACGCUUUCCACUCUGGCAGCACAUCUUUCAGCGAGAUGUUUGGGUAGGUUUCCCUAUAUUUUUUUUCAGUUCAUGUAUUAAUUGUUGCAUCAACCAAUUACGCACAUGUAUGUGUAUAUAUGCUUCCUUCCCUACCGGCACAAUAUCCAUCCGCAUGGUCUCCGCUAGGUUCCCCUAUAUUACUGUCCUGUUCAUGUACGAUUCCUUCUUCUACCAAACAAUUACAUUGUCCUCAUAUCCUCUCAAUCCCAAAUUUCUAUAGGUGUUGUUCAUACUGUCUAUGGUCAAUUGAUUCGGGCAGAUCUUGGAGACUGGUACUUAUUUUUUCACUUCGGAAAUUCUUCAGCUCAUAAUGUCCAAUGGCUUCGGGAUAGGUAAUUUACUUCAAUUGUACAGUCAAAUCUUACCAACCAUGGAGAUCGUAAGUGUUGCUUCAUGUUACUCUACAUGUUGGUUAAUUCAUCCAUUCACUCAAUGUUGCUCGGCAUGUUGUAGAGCUUGCACACAUUGUCAUGAUGUACUACAUGUUGUAUAGCUUGCACACAUUGCCAUGAUGUACUACAGGACCGAGGGCAGGUCAUUCAUGAACCUACAUUGUUCGAUGAAGCUCUGUCGAUUCCGACUCUAGUAUAGUUAAUUUUUGAAUAUAUGAUUUCGAAAAACUGGCUGAACACCCAGUUAUCUGGUUGAAUUUGAGCUGUUGUUGUACUAGAGAUAUUUGAAUGCUAUUCAUGAAUUGACAACAAUCUCUAAAACAAAAGGGGGCAAGAAGACAAGAGGGCUCCGUUUUCAGGUGCUUCUUUAAGUUUUGUUAGGGUUUGUGUCCUGCUCAAGAGACGAGACGGCGGCAGCUUCUUAAAGAUGGAAUAAGGUUCUCCCCGCCUAGCCUCCAUCCCAAUGGUGUGUCUAGCAUCGUCGGAGGGCGUGUGGAGGUGUGUCUCCGGCGGAUCUCGUGAGAUUUGGUCGGUGGUUGUCUUUGGUGGAUCCGCUCGGAUCCGAUCUUUGUUCGUCUUUGUUCAUGUGUCUUCAGGUUGGAUCCUUUCGAUCUAAAAUUCUCUUCAUCGGUGGCGGUUGCUGUUCUGGGGCGUUGGUCCUAUGGGACCUUAGCACGGCAACUUCCCGACUAUCUACUACAGCAAGUUGUGCCCGGCUCCGGCGAGGGAGCGGCGAUGACGGCGGUGCGCCUUCGGCUCGCUUCAGUGCUUGUAGUCGUCGCUAGGUGGUCUAUGAAUCUGGAUGUAAUUUUUAUUGUUUCUGGUGUUUGUUGUACUAUCAUGAUUGAAGAUGAAUAGAUUGACAGUUUUCUGAAAACGAAAGACUAUGAACACAUAAAAACCUGUUGGGAUUCUUUUUUCACAUCUCAAAAAUCAUUUUUCACGGGCAGGAACAUGUGCACACGGAAGCCGAAUUGGAUGUAAAGGCUGAAACCACUCUCCUUUCUGUUAAUGAGCAUCGAACCAAGUCUGAGGCUGAGCAAGGCCUACGUGCUCUCCUGAGAGAGGAGGAGCUCAAGUGGGCGUUGCGUGUGAAAACGCUUAAGGUGGUCCAAGGGGGACGACAACACACAGUUCUUUCAUAUGGUUGCAAAUGGUAAACAUAGGAAGAAGAAGAUCAUACAGCUUGAACAGGACGAGGGGACAAUAGUGGGGCAUGAAAAUCUGAAAGCGUAUAUUUCCAACUAUUAUAAAAGCCUAUUUGGACCCCCGAAUACAUCCACGGUGUCUCUUGAUGAGUCUGUUAUUGAUGAUAUACAUCAAUUACAGGCAGCAGAGAACGAUGUUCUCUCUGCACCGUUUACUGAAAAAGAAGUUCAUCUGGCCAUAACCCAAAUGAAGCCGAAUAAAGCACCGGGACCAGAUGGGUUUCCAGCUGAAUUCUAUAAGAAAUGUUGGCAUAUCAUUAAAGAUGAUCUUAUGCCUAUGUUUCAUGAUUUUUUUUGAUGGCCAUUUGGAGUUGUUUCACCUCAACUUUGGUACGAUAACGUUGUUACCUAAGAAGAAUGAGGCGGUUCGGAUCGAACAAUUCCGACCCAUUUGCCUGCUGAAUGUGAGUUUUAAAAUUUUCACAAAGGUAGGAACCAAUAGAUUGACACAAAUUGCUCACUCAGUGGUUCAACCUAGUCAGACAUCUUUCAUGCCGGGACGACACAUACUAGAAGGAGUGGUCGUCUUACAUGAAACACUCCAUGAGAUUCACUCGAAGAAACUAGACGGGGUUAUCUUCAAAGUGGAUUUCGAGAAGGCUUAUGAUAAAGUAAAAUGGCCUUUUCUUCAGCAGGCAAUGCGCAUGAAGGGUUUUAGUGAAACCUGGAGGAACCAAGUUGAUACUCAAGUCCAGAAAGGUAGUGUCAGAAUUAAGGUGAACGAUGACAUCGGUCACUACUUCCAGACGCAUAAGGGGUUGAGACAAGGGGAUUCCAUGUCACCUCUUCUGUUCAAUAUUAUGGCAGAUAUGUUGGCCGUCAUUAUUGACAGGGCCAAGCAGCAUGGCCAUGUAGAGGGUCUAUUUCCUCAUCUAGUUGAUGGAGGGGUGUUCAUUCUACAAUAUGCUGAUGACACUAUUCUGUUCAUGGAACAUGACAUGGCUAAGGCACGUAACAUGAAACUUAUCUUGUGUCUAUUCGAACAAUUGCCUAGCUUAAAAAUCAAUUUUCAUAAGAGUGAGGUGUUUGUUUUGGGAAGGCCAAAGACGAAGAACAUACAUACAGACAAUUGUUUGGAUGCGAAUUAGGUGCCUUACCGUUCAGUUACUUGGGUAUUCCCAUUCAUCACCAUAAGUUAUCCAAUAAAGAAUGGAAAUGUAUUGAAGAACGAAUUGAAAUAAAACUCAGCUGCUGGAAGGGCAAGCUGAUGUCAUAUGGAGGUCGGCUAGUUUUGAUUAACUCACUAUUGACUAGCAUGCCAAUGUUUUUACUUUCGUUCUUCGAAAUUCCGAAAGGGGUCCGAAAGCAACUUGAUUUCUUUAGAUCUCGUUUCUUUUGGCAGUCUGAUGAGGCCAAGAGGAAAUACCGUCUCGCGCGAUGGGAUAUUCUUUGUCGACCUAAAGACCAAGGGGGCCUCGGUAUUGAGAACUUGGAAAUUAAGAAUAAAUGUCUUAUGAGCAAAUGGUUGUACAGGUUAGAGACAGAGCCGGAAGGCAUGUGGUCUCAAAUCCUGCGCAAUAAGUAUUUGCACUCGAAAACGCUAGCCCAGGUUACCAUCAGACCGACUGAUUCGCCGUUCUGGAAGGGACUUAUGAAACGAAGGAUAUGUUCUUUCGUAGGGUCAGAGGCGAUGGGUAGGCAAUUCGCGGUGUUGUUUUUGUGCUCAAGAUGAGACAAUACAACAUUUAUUCCUUGAAUGGCCACUUGCCAAGUUACUUUGAAGAACGAUUCAUAUAGCUUUUAAUAUCAAUCCUUCAGUAGAUAUUGCGUCUUUGUUUGGGACGUGGUUAGCUGGGGUUGAACAGAUCACGGCAGCUCGUAUUCGGAUUGGAAUAUGUGCGUUAUUAUGGGCUAUAUGGAACUGCAGAAAUGAUAUGAUUUUUAACAGACAACACAACUUAACUUUUUUGCAGGUUAUCUUCAGAGCUACAGCUUGGAUCCGUACGUGGUCCUUACUCACUCCUAUGGACUCCAGGGAGCCUUUGGUUACUGGGUGCAACCAAUGGGAGAUGGUGGCUCGGGUUAUAUUCAACCGGUUCGGAUGGCGUUCGCAUAACAGGAUAGGAGUCUAGAGAGCUUAUCCUUAUUAUUACCGUAUCGGUUGUCUUUGUCCGCUUGUAAUUUUCCGGUUUAUGUACUUUGUUUUGCUCCGUUUGCGAGCUGUAAGACCUUUACGAUGAUACUUUCUGAAUUUUUAAUAAGAGGGCCGCAUGCAUCAUCAUGAUGCAGAGGCUGGGUAUACCUCCAUUUCCCCCAAAAAAAAAAAGGCUCACCUUGUUUCACGCACGCACAACAAAAACAGGCGGGCACGCGCGCUCAGGCAGCACGCAUGGGCGCUCCGCCUUUUCCCCCUCUGCUGCUGCUUUCAGAGGAUGGAGGGAUGGAUUGGUGCAGACAUCCUUUUGUGCCUUUUGUUCUUUCUUUACCAGCAACGGGUCUGUAUCUAUCUGCUUAAACAAAACAAAAUUUGCUUAAACACGUAGUACAUCAGCCCCUUUCCCUUCCUUCAUUGGGGAUGACGGCCCAAAUGCUUUGCUUUUGCUUGGGUUGCGUAAAGGGUGAGGUGUUCCAUGCGAAUGCGACACACCACACAACACAGGAGGUUUGGCCUGGGUUGCAUGCCAUGGAAUAUAUACUCCUUCCUACCAGCAAAGUAGGCCCUCUUUUCCCAAAGCCUCCUCUCCGGUGAGUAUUCAGCAUGAGUAUCUAGUGCACAGCACACAACUAGUACUUCCUUUUUAGUCUGCAUAUAAGUUUUGUCUCAAGUCAAAUCAUCUCUACUUUGACCAAACUUAUAGAAAAAAGUAUCAACAUUUACAAUGUCAAAUCAAUAUAGUUAGAUUCGUUACGAACUGUAGUUUCACGGAAUAUAUAUUUGGUAUGGUAAAUGUUGAUAUUUUUUAAUAUAUAUUUGGUCAAAAUUUAUAAAGUUUGACUUGACCAAAACCUAAUACGCGGAGUAAAAAGGACCGGAGGGAGUACUACUCACUCACUCACUCACUCGCCCAUGUGCUGUGACUGUGAGUGUGUGGUGACAUGAUUGGCUGCGGCCACUGGUUAAUCUCGCUCGGUACUCCUACGCUGCAGCACAAGAUUUCCUACUGUAUCUGAAGCAAGAGAUGCAGCUGAAGCAGAUGACAAGAUCCAACUAGGUUUGGUCUUUGGUCUUUGGUGCGAGCCAGCCAGCCAUCCAUACCCAUCUGGCCACCUCAUCUUGCUGCCGCUGCCGCUGCUCUUGCACUACCUGCUGCAGCAGCAAACCUGAACAAGUGAGCGAGGAGGAAAGAAAGGCUCGCUGUCUGCAUGCAUCAUGCAUGCUCCAGCUCCAGGCGGCACGUACGUGGCAGCCCUAGCUAGGAAUAGGAUGGAUCAUGAUCGUGGAUGUGGAUGUGGAUGUGGAGAUGCAUGAUGAGAUGGACGACGGCUUUCUUGUGACUUUUUACCCUACCACGCAUGCAUGAUGGAUGAGCCAACAUGCCACAGCUAGAAGCUGCACCGGCAAGUAACUAAAAUAUGGUGUUGCUCGUGCACCAACACAACUUCCAGCUCGAUACGUACGUGUUUUCAUACUGGUCACGUUGCACGGUAACACGCUCGCUCGUGCAACUUAGAAGUGUCAACUUGAAUGGUGUGAUGGUGCAGUCUGCAGUGCAAUGCUUGUGGUUUCUCUCCGCCGAGCGAGAACAUUCUUUCCUCUCGCAAAUCACAUCAAGCAUGACUUGACACGAUGCAACUUAAUUAGCAGUACGAGCACCAAUCAUCUUAGAUUAGAUUGGACAUACAUAUACGUGCCAUUAAUCGUACGUACUAUGUCGAUGUGCCGAUUAGUUAAAAAAGGGCCAGCUUGUCAUCAGAUUGAUUGAUGGCCGUGGCCAGAUGGAUGGAUGGAUGAUUGCUCACUCGCGAGUUUCUUUUACAACUCUUUCUAAACUGUCAUUCGCUCGCUCACUUUAUAGUUACUAGCACAAAUGCCCGUGUGUUGCAAUGGGAGAAAAAAAAUUAACGUGUAAUUAAAUUUGGUGAGAAACAACUUUUGAAGGUGUUAGUUAAAGAAGCUACUACUCGCUAUAAAAUCCACACGGUCGAACAAUACAACGUGCUGUAGAAAUCCUCAUACAAAUUGAUCAAAGAAUAGUACAUGACAAACAAAGCAAAAAAAAAGAGAGAGAGAGAAGUACAGAAGUUGUCGAAACUCCACAAAAAGAGACACUGAGACCUAAUGACCCAAUCACGCGUAAAAUAUAGGAUGUCAACAAAAGCGCCCCACUGCUGACACCAAGGAGGCAAGGAGCUCCGAGUGAAGAUUCGAGCCAACCCGAAUAACAGACGCAAAGUGGUCAAAUUUGAGUGAGAUAAUAAAUUAAUAAUAGCCUUUUCUCGUUUAAAAAUGCAGUAAUAAAGCGGACGCAUGCUUUCAAUGAAAAGGUGGUGUUUUACAGCUGCAAAUUUUACCGAUAACAUAUGCAAAGCAAAGCGGAGGUGUGUGAAAUGAUUGAGUAGAAAAGAAGAGGGUGCACUUAAUUGAAGUGCAACAAACCUGGUCGUGCUUGAGUCAUCGGUAACACACAAACAUUUGGAGUGGAGGAGAUGGAUUUGGAGGCAAGGCGACCAAAGUUUUUGGAUCUCCCGUCCCAUCGAUCAUAAUCAGCACCACGUUCCACUCCCACCCCCAGCUCAAAAUCAUCUACCCCGCGUUCUACUAUUAUUCAACAUUUAGCAUCUCAAGGAAGGUUUAUCAGUUACAGUACUAGCUAGCUUCCUGAGGGUAACUAACAGAAAUUAGAAAUGCAGCGAGUAUAGAAAUACUUUUCCGGGUUUAUUGAGCCUCAUUGUAUUAUUUUUUAAUUUUUACUAGAGAUUUAACUAGUAAACCAUAAAUUAUAUGCCACAAAAGUUAUAUUGUUCACGGUUAAUUUAAGGCAUUGUUGUGAAUCUGAUGAAGCAUCUAGAAAAUUUUCUCAAACAUAUCCGCCUCCUGGCAUGGAAGCUGGACAGUACCAUCCAACCGUUCAAAAUCCUAAACAUGGCGAACAGUUUCACCAUUAUCCUCCAAAUUAUGUUGUGUAUGAUACAUAUUAUCAUCUCCCAUGGCUGGAGGGGUGGAAGGUACUAGGGCGGCGGCGGCAGCGGCACCGGGCUUCACGGAGAGGCAUCUAGAUGGAGCGGCAGAGGUCCGGCAAGGCCUGGGCGCUGUCCGGGAGGGUGGGGUGGCUUCGUCGGGCUCCGGGAGCGAGUACAAUUAGUGAAGGAGGAGGGGUGCCAUAAAAAAGAGAGGCCUAAGAGGUCUUCUGGAUGAGUCUGGACUGCCAGAGUCUAGACUCCUUUUUUUUCUUUGAGAAUCUCCAGAGUCUAGACUCCUCUGCUCCGUCCCUCGAUUUGGGACCGGUUUGGGAGACUUCGGAUGCCCAUCCAUGUAUAGCACAACUGCAAAAUAUGGGCGCCCGCACCUAAAUUUAUCCGAGCCGAACAUAUCAGGAUGGAAUAGGGGUUCAAUGCGCUAAGAGCAACUCUAGUAGACCCCGCAAAAUCUGGACCCGCAAAACGUGUUUGCAGUUUCACGAAGAUCUCGUUUGCGGGUCGAAAACUAGCGCGGCCGAACAGAAACCAUAUCUAAAACUGCAUAAUUUGAAAAAACAGUUUCGCGGGAGAAAUUGCACCUCGUUGACGCGAGUAGUUCAUCACAUACUUCAUAGAUUUUACAUGAUCAAACACUACAAACGCUAGUUCAUACUACAUACUACAUUAAUACUAGUACUAGAGGGGUGUGGAUCUAACGACGGCGAGGCCGCGGCCAUGGACGACGCCGUGGAGGAGCUCAAUCCUCCUCCCCGGAGCUGCAGAGGUCGAUGUACUUCGCGGCCUGCUCCUCACGGAUGCGGCGGCACUCCUCGUCCUUCUCCUUGGCGGCGAGGUUGGCGGCGACCGCCUGCCGCCACUGGAGGUCUUCGAGCUCCUCCGCGUGGUGCCGGCGCUUCGCCUCCUCGCGCACGCUCCGCUCGGCAAUGGCGGCCGCAACCGCAUCGACGUCGGAGACGAAGUCUUCCGGCCCGACGACUCCGCGGCGGCCGAGCGGAGUGGGCUCCUCGGGCUCCUCCUUGACGGGGACGAACUCGAAGUCGUUCGGCUCCUCCGACCACUACCUCUUCAGGGGGAGAAGGCCAGCGCCGGAUGAGGAGGAGCUCCCGGUGUAGGAAGAUCUCGCCGCGGAAGAGAAGGACGCUCGCCGGCGGUCGUACUCCUCCGUCUCGCGGACGUGGAAGCUUGCCGGCGGCGACAGGCCGCGGUUGGUCCACUUCCGGGCCCCGCGCUUCCUCGCGCCGUCCGACUGGACGUGCCGCUCGCGCUCGGGGUCGCCUCCGCCGCCGGAUCUGCCGCCGGAGCCACGUCCGGAGCUCCACAUGCGGCCCCACAUGGCGGCUGGAGGCGGGGAGGUGGUCGCCGGCAGCGAGAAAUGUGGAGAAGGGGGUGGGGGAUUGCGUGGCUCGGCAGCGGGGGAUAGGGUUUUGACCCGCAAACGCGCCGCGGAACCGUAGAUAUAGCGGUCGGGGCGUGCGAUUUGCGGGCCGCGGCAAAUUUCUUUACGGGCCGGGCGAGUAUGCGGGCUCUGUUCUGGCCGGAAAAUUAGACCGAGCCCGCAUACUCGCCGGAAUUUUACGGUUCCGCGUGUUUUGCAGGGUCUGAUAGAAUUGAUCUAACAAUGGGCCCCCAAAAAGAGGCUGAGCACAAAGCAACUGUAAUAAAGUAGUACACCAUCCAUCCAUCAAUUAGUUACAGAGAGACAGCAGUGGAUCGAUCUAUUUACCGUGGUAGUUAUUUCUCUCUGACGAGUGGGAUACUCCACUAUUGAUUAGCAGUGGUACCUGACGGAGUCAUAAGUAAUCUGACCCACUUUUGUGGACGGCUGCUUGCUUCAAUUAGCAUACAGUAGGAAGAAGGAUUCAGUUAGCAAAUUAAGCUUGAUUUAAGCGCGGUAGAGAGACAAAACCAGCCCUGCACUGCUCCAGUCUGAAUGUACCAAGCACGAAUCUCUUAUCCCUGCAAGCAACACUGAAACUGUUCUUACUGACAGAUGCUUACAGUAGCAGUGGCCCUAUAAUUAUAAACAAAUAAAAAGCUUGUAAAGUGCAGUGCAGUUGAGGAGGGAGUCUGACCCAAUGUUUAACCAAGCCGCCUUAAUAUUUGCAAAUCAAAUACUCACUCUGUCUCAAAAUACUUUUCGAGAAAUAAACGUAUCUAAGAUGUAUUUUAGUUCUACAUACAUUUAUUUUUAUUCAUUUCUCCGAUAAAGUAUUUCCGGAUGGAGGGAGUACUUUCUGUGAUCCAACUAAAUCAGCCAUAACUAAUAUGGACCAGAGGAGUACAUAUGUACAUACAAGUCUGAGAGCUGCUGCCUUGAAGAAGAAGAAGAAGAAGAAGAAGAAAAAGAAGAAAAAGAAUAACGAUGGAGCCAUAUUCAUAUCCUUUUGCUCUUUCUUUAUCAGCAACGUGCGUCUGUGUGUUCGUGUGGCAAACAAAACUUUCAUUGUUUAAACACAAAGCAAACCUCCUUCUUCUUUAGCCAAAGCUUGCUUUUGCUUUGCAUCCAUACAUAAAGCAAGAGGGAUACAGUAGUUUGAGAGAUUGUUCCCUCACACUGACACACCGGGAUGGGAUGGGAGCAUGAACAAAAAGCAGGCCAUCUUUUUCUCCAAAAAGCCAUCCUCCUGGCAGGCCAUCGUGCAGUGAGCCCUCGCAGUUUUUUUUCUCCUCUCUUUUCCCUUUCUUUUUAUGGAAUUUCCCGCAGAAAUAAAAUUACCGCAAAAUAAUAAAUAAAAUUCCCGCAAAAGUAAAAUAAAAAUAAAUAAAUUAUUAUAACAGCAUUUCUAUUGAAACUCUAGUUUUUAGGAAUUUCGUGCUUUGGGAGCCUUCAGGCCUUAAUUUGGAGCCCAAGCUUGGCCCAACCGCCGAGUUCCAGAAAAUAAAGAAGUGAUACUGGUGUUUAUAUUAGAACCUUAAUUUUUGAGGCAUUUCGUGCGUUUGGGGCUUUUAGGUCGGGGCUCCAGGCAUAAACUUGGAGCCCGAGCUUUUGGUGGAAUCUGUUCAGCCGGGUUCAAGUCCCAUAUUUGGCAUAUGAUGCUCGUAUUUUCUUAAUUAUUUCCGAAUUCCUCGUGAUGUUACUGCAAGAUUUAUAAGUCGGGCACAAGUUUUUAGGUCUUUGAUUUAACUAAUAAAACAUGAAUAAUGUUCUGCAAAAUUAUAUGCUUAUAAACUACAUUUGACAAUAAAUCUAAAGAUGUGUUUUUUAUAUAAAAUGUAAUACAUGUUUCAGUAGUUAAAUUAAAGACCUAAAAAUCUGUGCCUUUAUAACUUCAAAAAGAAAAUAAAAAAAUAUGUGCCUUUAUGACUGAAGGGAGUAGUUUUCUAAUGCUCCAGUCAGUCAGUGCAGUUCUUUCCUUCUCUCGAGCUCAUGUGAAAACAAAAAAGCUACUCAUUCCACCCUUUUCAUUGUCGCUGCACUCUGAAUGGUUGUCAUUCGUUCUUUCUGUCAAGCUCAACUCCAGGAAGUAAUGUGCAUAUGGUGUGACUGGGAUGUCGAACGCGCACGUGGCAGUGGCCCGGAUGCCUGGGAGGUUCGCUUCGGUUUGCGGAAAACGGACAUUUGAAUCGGUUCGCAGACAAAUAUAAGAUAUCGCGUUGGAUUGCAAAACACGUCCAAACCGCAUGGUCAAGAUGGAUGGGUGCGAUUUGAGGGUCCGCACUGAAUGGGUGCUCCAGGCAGUGUGGCCCUUUCCCUCUGUCGAGGUCACGUGGAAAAUAAAAGAACAAACAAAUAGUCCCUGGGUGAGAACAUUAUCCUUUCUCACAAAUUAAUUAGCAGUAUGAGAACUAAUCAUACUAUAUUAGACAUAUAAUUGAUCAGUUCAAGAACAGCUCGACGGAGUAGUACGAUUGGUGGCCAUGACCAGAUGGAUGGCUGGAUGAAAAGGCGCGGUAAUGAAGCAGAGGCGUGCGCCCAAUGGAAAAGGCCGGUUUUUACUGCCGAAAUUUUUACUGGAAACAGACGCAAAGCAGAGCCGAGAAAAGCAAACUGGAAGUUUCAAUUGAAAUUGGACAAACCAGUCACUCCCUCCGUUCCAUAAUGUAAAAACGCUCUUAUAUUAUGAAACGGAUGGAGUAAUUAACAAGCGGUAGCAGUACUUGGUUGACAUGAUUGACACCCGUAACAUCAUCAUCUGAAAGAAACAGUAGGCAAAUGCUAUGGAGCAACAGGGCGUAUGCACAGUGCCAUGACAGGUGGCGGCGCCGGCGAGCAUACCAGCCAGAGAUUAAACACCAACGGAUCAAUGGCCGGCUCCACCGGUGUCGGCUAGGAUUGCACUCACUUUUGCUGCUGCUGCUGCACGCACGAACACUACUGUUCACUCGCCCACUCACUCACUGGGAGUAAUAAGGCCAACUCCACCGCGCGACCCUAUCCUGUCCGGCCCCGUCCGUUUGGGGUAAAAUGGACGAAUAGCGCGGCCCAGCGCGCGGCCUCAAACGGACAAAUGUCCGGAUUCCGUCCGUUUUCGACCCAUCCCUGCCCAAACUUGCGCUUGGUUUGGGGUCAAACGGACGCGCGCGGACGGCCUGGACGCACGCCCUUGUCCCCCCGUGGCUCGCCUGUCGGGGACACUAACAGUCCCUCCGUUCCCAACGCUUUCACCCUCUCUCUCCCGCCCCACCCCGUCGCCGGCGCCGCCGCUAUUCUCCGGCCGCCUCCUCACCGCGCAGCCUCCGGCCGUCCCUACCAAACCACUUAUCGACAUGGCCGCCACCAUGCCCGCGCUUUGGCCAUAGUUUUGGCCGUCGAUCGAAGGUUUGGCCGUCGCCGUCUUUGCCGGCCGCAGAGGGGACAGGACCGCCGGUGACGCACCACGACGGCCUCGGCAGCUUCCGACGACAGCUCCAGAGCGGCCAGUAGCCGGCCGGCAAGCACCCAUGCUGCGUCAAGGUGAUCAUCGCGGCCUCUUCGCCACCACGACUGCAAGGUGUUCGGCAUUUUGCCCACAAAGGUAUGGACAGUGGAGAUGAGUUUUUCUUCCAUUACUUCCUUUGUUCAUCGGACGAUUCGUCGUCGGAUGAUGAAGAUCUUGUGGUGGCUGCACUGGUCGUUCACGACCACAUUCGACGGCAGCUUCCUCGGUACAGGGGGUCAGUCCCUGGCCGUGCUGAACCGCAACAGGGAGAGAGGCCACGCCCUGCUCUAUGCUGAUUACUUUGCCAACACCCCGCUCUUCAAGCCGGAUAAAUUCCGUCGCCGUUUUCGAAUGGCAAGGCAUGUGUUCAAUCGUAUCCGAGAGGGAGUGGUUGCUCAUGACCCAUACUUCGAGUGCAAGACGGAUGCCCUUGGCAAGCUUGGAUUCUCCUCUUACCAGAAAUGCACCGCGGCCAUCCGCAUGCUUGCAUAUGGAAUUCCAGGCGAUCUGGUGGAUGAGUAUGUGCGUAUGAGUGAGACAACAUGUCUGAUGUCAAUGUACAAGUUUUGCCAGGCUGUGAUCGAGGUGUUUGGCCCAGAGUACUUGAGGCAGCCAACUGCCGCUGAUACAGAGAGAUUGUUGGCGACCAACGCAGCUAGAGGCUUUCCAGGCAUGCUUGGCAGCAUAGAUUGUAUGCACUGGGAGUGGAAGAACUGUCCAUUUGCUUGGCAGGGCCAGUACAAGGGGCAUGUCAACGGGUGCACUGUCAUAUUAGAAGUGGUGGCAUCGCGGGAUCUUUGGAUAUGGCAUUCUUUCUUCGGCAUGGCAGGUUCUCACAAUGAUAUCAACGUGCUGCAGCGUUCUCCAGUCUUCGGGAGGCUUGCAGAAGGCCACUCCCCACCUGUCAACUUUGAGAUCAACGGCCACCAGUACAACAAGGGAUACUAUCUAGCAGAUGGUAUAUAUCCUCAGUGGUCAACUUUUGUGAAGACAAUCUCGAAACCCCAAGGUGAGAAGAGAAAGAGAUUUGCCCAAAUGCAAGAGAGUGUUAGGAAGGAUGUGGAACGUGCUUUUGGUGUGCUUCAAUCCCGGUGGGGUAUCGUUCGAAACCCUGCACUGUCAUGGGUUGAACGGAAGCUUUGGGAGGUGAUGACUGCUUGUGUGAUCAUGCACAACAUGAUCGUCGAGGACGAGCGUGAUGAGAGUAUCUUCGACCAAGGAUUUGAUUACCAAGGUGAAAAUAUUGAGCCCCUGCACCAAGACCCGGCCACAUUUGAACAGUUUGCCCAAUUCCAUCGUGAGAUGCGUGAUUGGCACACUCAUUUGAAUCUUCAAAAUGACUUGGUUGAGCACGUGUGGGAUCACAUUGGCAACCAAUAGAUGUAUUGGUCCAUUUUAUGUUCAGUCAAGACAAUUUCGGUUUGGUUGUAAAACUAUUUUAUUAAAGACAAUUUCAAUUGGGUUGUAAAACUAUUUUAAUUUUCAGACAUAUAUUUGGGUUGGAAAACUAGUUAUGAUGAAAAUAUGGGCAUUUUUGGCCCAGACGGACAGGAUGGGGCAAAUGGAUGCGGCCGCGGGCUGGGCGCACGGCCACCGCAUCCCAGGACACGCCCGGACACGAUCCCAAAUCCUUACCCAAACGGACAGAAUCCGGACAAAACGGAUGUCCGUUUGGGGUCGCGCGGUGGAGUUGGCCUAAGUGAUUGUUAUCAUCAGCAUCCAUGUGCCAUGGAGCUCUAGGUGUGUACCACUACUAGCAGCCGGCAACAGUGCCUUAACGAUGGAUGGGGCCUCCCUGAACAAAUGAGUCUGAGUUGGAGCCAGGUAGGUAGCCACAGGAUGGUUGGAUCGAGUUAAGUUACCAGUAGUGAUUAUCUCUGAGGGAUGAGAUACUGCACUAUUGAGUAACAGUUGCACAGAGCAGUACUCGUUCUGCACAGAGCAAAGGUAACUCGUACAAAUAGCCUGUAAAAGGGGAAGAACCCUUUGUUAAUUUCACGCGCGCUCACACACAAGACGCACGCAUGGCCACUCUACCGCGGUGCUUUGCUUCUGCCAUACCCUUUUGCUCUUUAGCAGCAACAGCAGUGUCUUUGUGUGCGUGUGGCAACAAAACUCAUCAACCUGCUCAACAAAUCUGCCACGGUACGGUUGUUUGGGACUUGUAACACAAACUCUAUUUUCUUCUUAAUUAAUGUAUGAGGCAAAUUUCACACCAACAUUUUUUGGAAGUCUCAGACAUUUUUCUAAAAAAAAUGCAAUUCUUAAUUCGUGAACAAAAUCUGAUAUUAUUUUUUUAGAAUCCUAAACUAUUUUUAAAAGCAGAGACCUUUUUUGAAAUCUCUGAACAUUUUUCAAAAAUGCAAACAUUUUUUUAGACUGUGAAAAAAAUGGUAACGGGAACAUGUUUUUACAUUUUGAACAAUUCAAAAACAUCUGAAAUUCCCAAACAUUUUUUUAAAAAGUAUGUUUUUCUGAAUUUAUGAAAAAAUUGGAAAUGCAAACAUUUUUUGAAAAUUUGAAAAAGGAAAAUAAACUUGAAGAUAGAAAACAAACGUAAAAACAAAAAAGGAAAAGAAAGACAAAAAACAAAAGAAAAAAAAUACAAAAUCCGGUAAAAGAAACAAAAACCGGUCUGGGUAGUACCUACACUAUCUACACAAAUGGGCUGACCGCUCACAUGUGCGAAGCGCCGGCAGUUUGAUGCAACGCGCGUCAAAUAUGUUUUUCCGCCACAGACCUCAUCCUUGAUCAGCAACUCCGAAAUGGCCUUCUAGAUCACCAUCUUGGCAGUUAUGUCCCUGACGCCGUGGCAGGUGUCCUGGUCUUUCUCGUCCGUGUAGAAGACAGGAUACAUAUGACCCUCUGAGUUUGGAUUACAGAAAAGUCUUCCCAGGCCACGAUAGUAGGUCCGUGCUCCACCAGGCUGGCGUCCACCGUGAGCAUCCACUGCGCAUCGUUGCACACGGUGGACGACUCCGUGCGAUGGGUCCAUGUCGAACCGCCUCCUCCAUCCCAUAGAUAUGAAGGAUAUUUGAGCUAGACCUAUGCUCGAAUCGUUGCCAAGGUUUUGGCUACUUGAAUCCAACAAAAUACCAGGGGGACGAUAAACGCGAUUACCACGAAUACUAAAAUAAUGCCGUUUAAAAUUUUAAAUGAAUUUUGAAUUCAAAUUUAUUUGAGCUAGACAUAGAUUUCCUAUUAUACUAAUGUUAGCUAGAAACUUGCUAGUGUUGCAGUGGUAGGUUCUAUCUGCCCAACCUCAAUUGUUGAGNNNNNNNNNNNNNNNNNNNNNNNNNNNNNNNNNNNNNNNNNNNNNNNNNNNNNNNNNNNNNNNNNNNNNNNNNNNNNNNNNNNNNNNNNNNNNNNNNNNNNNNNNNNNNNNNNNNNNNNNNNNNNNNNNNNNNNNNNNNNNNNNNNNNNNNNNNNNNNNNNNNNNNNNNNNNNNNNNNNNNNNNNNNNNNNNNNNNNNNNNNNNNNNNNNNNNNNNNNNNNNNNNNNNNNNNNNNNNNNNNNNNNNNNNNNNNNNNNNNNNNNNNCCCCCUUAGAACUACAUGUACCUCCACUGUUGAGCCGGAGGAACAACAAUGUGGGAGUGGUGUGGAGCUCAUCCUUGCCGUGUGGGAGCACACACAGGAAGCCUGGUAGCUUCGCGACCACCGAAGCUCGACUUUAGUGAGUCGGGCGGCGAACCAGUGGAACAUUGUCCGGUACGAGCACACUCUGCGUUAGUGAGCCAGGUGGCGAACCAGUGGAAGACUAUCAAGUACAAGCACACCAUAGACACAUCUAACCGGACUUCAUGAGGAUGCUUUCUAGGAAGUUCUCAUGCGAUUGAUGAUGUGCCCUUCGGCUCAUGGGGUUGACAUAUGUUGUUGGCAAGAGGAAAACAAUGUAGGUGCGCUAAGCACGAUCUUCUUUGGGGUCUUGGGAAAGCUUGUUAGGGGUGUUGGAAACAUGCCCUAGAGGCAAUGAUAUUUGAGUAUUAUUUAUUUCCAAGUUUAUAAUUAAUAUUUAUGUCCUAUGAUACUACUCCUAUGGUUCUCGAAUAUGUGAUAACAAGAGGUUCAGAGGAAAACUCGUGUGCAUGUGUAGAGUUAUAAACGGUAAAACCAGAUUGCUAGUCUUGCCUCUAGGACUAGCUCAACUGUUGCAUGAUGGUUUUGUUUUCCUCAUCAUGGGCAUAAUUAAGUGUAACGAUGAUCCCGACAACAUUGAGUGCACGAUUCGUAGAACACUCGUGUUGAAUUGACCCAAAUUGUAUAUUUCUACUAAGAGAUGAAUCGUAACAAGUCUAUAAUAAAUAACACUGGAAGUUAAGAUAUGCACAAUUCCUUAAGACUAUGAGUGUAUCGAGUUACCCCAUACCGGACGAUGCACGAUGCACUUUGGGGUUGUUCUAACGUCAACCGUAACAAGGUGAUCAUAAUCACAACUUACAAGUUCAUCAGAAACGUAUGAUAAGUGACUAGAUAGCUAGAGACUGGGAUAUUGCUUCUCCGGCGAUGGAGAGAUAUUCUUAGGUCCAUCUUGGUAUGAUGACAUCCAUCAUCGUCUGUCCAUAGACAACCUUACGUUAUCACAGGGAUGCUGGAACCCGAGAAUGAGAAAAGAGAAUGAAACUAUUAACGAGGAGACUGGUAUAGUGAUCAUGUGUUUGACUCACAGGUAUACUGAUAUAUCUCACCCCAGUUUUUGUAAAGUACCGCGAAGCAAAAGGAAGAGGACAUGUAGCUACAGGUUUACUCAAUAAACAUUCAUGUGAGUGAAGGGUCAAUAUGGAUGUCCAUGAUUCCGCAAUUGAUCAUUGAUCGAAAGGUAUUUCGUUCAUGUCUAAGUUUCGCCAAACCUGCAGAGUCACACACUGAAGAACCUUUGAUCUGUUGAGUAGUAAAUGAGUUAGGAAUAUUGGAGAAUAUCACCAGAAAAGUUUUGGAGGUAACAAAAUUGUUUUUGAGAGAGAACCGGAAGUGUUACGGGAAAACCGAAAGCGUUUCAAAGAAAACUAGGUAAAACCAAUUAGGUGUAAAAGUUUGUGGAGGACUUGAUAAUAAUAUAGGGGGGCUCUAGUAUUUACUAGGCGCCCCUAGAAUUAUUAUAGGCUCCAUGGGUUGCAUGUAUAGGCUAAGCCUAUUAAGGGGUUUACUGCAUGGGCCUAAAGGCCCAUAUAGGUGCCCCUACUAGCCUUGGGGGUGCGGUUGGGGUUGAAGGGGUGGAGCGCCACCCCUAGGUGGGAGCCCCUCCUCCAAGGCACUCCUCCUCCACCUAUAUAUACCCUUGGGGGCGCCCCCUAUUGAACGCACAUGUUCUCCCACGUGUUUCGGAAGCCCCCUUUCCCUCUAGUUCUCCACCAUAGCUCUGCCGAAGGGCAGCUCCUCCCUCUCCCUCUACUCCAGCAUUGCCUAGCUCCGAACGGCGAAGCUCUAUCAAAUCUUUGGUGUCAUAUGUAUGCAAUCCACAGAGGGGCCGUAUGUUCGGUUCUUGUUCGAGGGAUCUGUUCGUGGGACUUCAAGAACACGAUCUUCAUCAACUUUCCGCUGCAACUCAUUUUUGGUAAAGUUCAGACCUAACUCUUGUAUGUGUAUCUUCAUAGUGGUCCUGGUUUAGUUUCAUAGGACAAUUUUUUGUUUUGUACUACGAUUCCCAACAUUAGCAUGAUGAGCAGGUUACGAUCUAGAACAUAGUUUUUUGUGUGAGUACUGCACAAACAUUUUCCAGUAGUAGAUGUGAUCUAUUAUUUAAUGGAAGUUUUGUGCGAAUAGAAGAAAAUAUCUGUUGUAGUAGAUGCAAUCUUUUACUUGAUGGUUUGUGUUGCUUCUCUUGAAUUUACAAUUUUUUGAUCUUGAUGGCAUGGUGCAACAUUUUACCAAGUUCUGGCAAUCCGUGAUCCUUCUAUGUUGCUCUUAGUAUGAUGGUUUCAGAUCAAAGAGGUGCUUCAAUUAUUUGGAUUACACUUUAGUCAAGAUGGAUAAUUCCCGCAAACUAAAGGGCAUGUAAGUUUAAUCUACAUGAGGUCAUGCGUAUGACUAUGUUUAGUACGGGGGAGCAGACUUUUAGUUAAGUCUCUCGUUUCACACACCUCGCACAGUUAAUCAAGUAACUUAAAUAGUCAUACUUGAUGAUGAACAUAGGUAGCUUCGGUUUGGUUUGAAACCCUAGAAGCCACGUAAAAUAUUUUUUUGCAUAAACCUAUUAGAGGACGUCUAACUUGAUUUUGCAGGUUGCAUCAGACGUGGUAUAUAUAGCCUUCAUCAUAUUAAUGAGAUUUUGUAUGAGAUGUCUUUUGUUGGAAACAUUUUGGAGCAUCGUUUUUUGGGUCCAAACCUCCAUGAAUAUUAUUUCACCACAAACAAUUGAAAGCAUUUAAAACAUUCAACAAUGUUUAUUGCAAAAAUAGAGAAUUUUGUGAUUUUAUUCUUUAUCUUGAAUUUUAAUUUAGAUUAGAGAGCAUGUGAACUCGGGAUAAAAAAAGAGCAAUUUCGUAAAUAAUAAGUUGUUCUUUAUUAGCAGCUGAAGCAGCAACGAGUCUGUAUCUAUCUGCUUUCCUUUCCUUCAUUGGCAUUGGGGAUGGCCAAACCCAAAUGCUUUGCUUUUGCUUGCGUUGCGUCAUCACACAAACAUAGAAUCCAACAGAGAAAUGCACAUUCCGAUCACCAGAAGAUCACCGACGGAUGUCCAAAAGAUUGCCACAGUUCACAUAAUUCACAUAAAUGACGGAUAAAUUUAAAGUAGAUUACUAAAAACUUGAAAUUGAAGACGGAGAUGGCAGAGAUUCACCACUUCCUCGCCGGCCCUUUGCCCUUCCGGUCGCCGGCGCAGCUAUAGGCAUCGGCGGCUGGUGGCGGAUCUUCGAGAGGUCCGACGAGGAGCCGUGUUCGUCGUCAUCGUCGGAGGUGUCAGAGAGGAUGAUGAGCCCUUUUAGCCGCUGGACCUCCCUGUCUUGUUGCCGAUUGAGCUUCGCGAGUCGAGCCGCUCUGCCGCUGCCUCCCCCGCCUCGCGCUUGGACUGCUCCAUGGCAAUCCGGAGCGCCUUGGCGUUCUUCCGGCAGAGCCACCGAGCGUCUGUCUCCGCGGUCGUAAGCGACCGGUGGUAGACCCAUUCGAGGAGCCACGCGUCCUUGUCAGGUUGGGCCUCCAUCCCGCGCCGGCGGCGCACGGACUGCUCGGCCUCCCUCCUCUCCCUUUGCCGCCGCUGCUCGCGGCGGGCGGCACGCGCCUCUGAUUCCGCUGUGCGCAUCUGGGCCGGCGGGGCGGGCACAAGCACCCACCACUGCCCACGUGGGGGAGCAGGGGAUGGCGUAGGGGAGGCGCGGAUUGCGCAAGCCACCUGUCGAAGCUGCGCACGGGUUGGGAGGGGCCAGCACCGGCGUCAGAGCUACGCCGUUGGGGAAGCUGCAUCUACGGCGAGGCUGCAGACUGCUCCAAGGCGAUGCGGAGGGCAAGCUCAUAGUCCGGAUCCAGCUCGGAGUCAGAGCGGCUGCCAGAGCUUGACAUUGUGGCGGAUUUGACCGGAAUCGGUGCGGGGAGAGGAGAGGACGGAGAGUUAGUGAUUUAGGGUUUCGGAGCGAUGAGUCGGAUGGUUUUUUUUGUGGGACCGGUGGGGUCGGUGGUGGACCGGGCUUGUCAGGCGGACGUGUCCAGGCAUGCCCGGGUCACCCCAUAUCCGCCCAAAUUUGGGCUAGAUAUGAGGGGUGCCAGUCAGCCCGGGCGUUUGAGGCCCAUUUGAGGUGUCCGUCUGGGUAAAAAAAUCAUGACCGGUCAGUGACCGGGCGGGCCGCCCGGGCGUUUGAGGAGGGUUUGGGACGCCCGGCUGUAGAUCCUCUAAAGGGAGAGGGAUUGUUCCCUGCCACCGCGGCACACCACACUUACACACAUGUAUAGGAUGAUGGGAGGGCCUUAAAGCAAUAAUGCAAGCAAUAUAUACUUCUUCCUCCUCUUACCAACAAGCAGAAAGAUUGAGUACGACCUUAAAGCAAAGCAGGCCCUCGCUCGCUCCAGUGAGUUCACUCAGUAUCUAGUGUAGUGCAGAGCACAGCUAGUACUCACUCACUCACCCACGUGUGUGUACGUAGUGGCUGCUGCCACUGGUUAUUCGGUGCUGUAUCUCAACUCUCAAGAUUUCCUAUUGUAUCUCAAGCAAGAGAUGCAGCAGCAGCAGCAGCAUAUGACAAAGAUCCAAGCAAAUCCGUGCGUUGCUACCUGCCACGGCAGGUUUGGUGCGAGCCAGCCAGCCAGCCAUCUGGCCUCGUCGUGCUGCUGCACUUGCACUGCCUUCUGCACUGCAGCUAGCCCUCCCAACAAACCUGAACAAGUGAGUGUGUAAAGAAUGCAUGGCUCACUGUGCAUGCAUGCUCUCUCGGGCGGGGCACGUGAGGAUGGAUCAUGCUCGUGGAUGUGGAGAUGCAUGAUGAGAUGGACGGCUUUCUUGCUUUUCUGCCUCUUUCCCCUUUCCUUUCCAUUCCAUUUUUUCAGACGAGCAGCCCAUAAUCAGCCUGCCCUUUUUCUUUCUUGAUUGAUGAAAGGCAUUCUUGCAUGCGUUUUUCUCCACUAGUACCAGGGAUGGUUUGGGUUAUCGAUGAUCCAUCUCCUAUUCUCAUGUAGUCGUAGUGGCUACCCCUCCUUCCAAAGAAAAAAGGAAGAAGAAUCAAGCAAGCAUGCAUGCAUAAAAAAAGCUAAAAAAAGAGAAGAAGCACAGAAGAAGUGGCCGAAAUGCCAAAAAAGAGAGAGACCCAGUCACGUGUAAAAUAGAGGAGCUCCGAGAGUGACCCGAAUAACAGACGUAAAGCGGAUAAAAUUUAGCGGGAUAAUAAUAGCCUCUUUUUUUUGAAAACCCCCACCCAUAUAUUAAUUAACUUAGAAUGUUAAUACAAUCAUUCAUUACAACAUCUGCCACACAGGCCGGAACGCUAUUAAUAAGGACACCGUCAGACAUUUUAUUAAAACUAAACUUAACUAUCUCGUGCGCCACCUUAUUAGCUUUCCUGCUAAUCUUGGAGAUCUUCACAUUUGCCAGCAUCUUAGAAAUACCGAAUGCUUCCUUCUUUAGGUCAACAAGGGUAGAUCUGUCAAACCUGUCAUUUUUUAGAACACCAGCCACAAAAGAAUAGUCAGUUUCUAAAAUGAUGGAUUUGUGAAGAGUGAUACCGAUAUACAAUCCGGAGAUUGUCCGCUCUAAGUUCCGCUUCUUCAACGCUAUAGCAGGCUCCAAUAUAACCCCAAGAGGAAAUGAUUACUUCUCCAAUAUGAUUUCUGCCAACCACCCCCACACUUGCGGCGUUGAUUGCCUCCACAAAACUUGCAUCGACGUUAAUUUUGAAAAACUCCGUGUUUGGUAAAGAAGAUGCAGUGCUCUAGUAACUAAAGAAGAUGCAUGCUCUCAAUGAAAAGUUGGGGUUUUACGGCUGCAGAUUUUACCGAGAACAGACGCAAAGCAAAGCAGAGGUGCGUGAAAUGAUUGAGUAAAAAGAAGAGGGUGCACUUAAUUGAAAUGCAACGAGUCUGGUAAGCCAUGUUGUGCUUGAUACAUUUGCAGUGGAGGAUAUGAUUUGGAGGCGUGGAGGACCGAGGACGAGCAAAGUUUUUGGUUCUCCCGUCCCAUCCAACCAUGUCCUCUUGCCCCACGACCAUAAGCAGCACCACGUUCCACUCCCCGCAAGUAUUAUUCAACAUUUAGCAUCUCAAGGACGGACGGUUCAUCAGUUACUAGAGCUAGUUUCCCCACGGUAAGUAAAGAGAGUGAAUUUUAUUUUUUUUCCUCUUAGUUUCACGUCCGUGAUAGUAUUUAUCCCAUUUAGCACAUCUUUCACAUUUUUACUCCAACUUUGUCACGAAUUAUCUCAUUUUUUUUCCAUUUUUCUGCUGACUGUGCACGACAUUUUAGUUUACUUUUGGUUUUUUAAGGUGAUUGUUUAUAUUUUCUUUUUUACAAGCAUCCAAGUGCUAUUACUAGUACUCUAGUGGGUUGGAGUAAAAGUCGCAGAGUUUAGCCAUACGAGGACCGAAUAUGCGCCCUUGUUGGAGAUGCCUAAGAGCAACUCUAGCAGAUCCCGCAUCCCGCCGACCCGCAAAACGCGUUUGCAGUUCGUGAAAAACGGCCUUUGCGGGCCGGCAAGGACGGCCACAGAUGCAGACCCCCGAACGGACCCGUAUAAAAGUAUAUUCGCGGAAUAUGCUUUUUUACGAGUCGGCUUUGCGGUGUCUGCUCUUGCGCCACUGCAUCCCGCAUCUCAUCGGCCCGCAAAUAUCAAAUCCAACAUAAUACAACAAACGGAAGCAAACUAAAUAAUUAUUCAAAUCCAACAUAAUACAACAAUCAUCCACAUUACAAAUAAUUAUUUAAAUCACCGAAGCAACCUUAAAUAAUGCAAUACAAAACUUGUGAUGAAUACAAAUACAAAUGAAUACAAAAAUAAGUCACUGUCCAGCCCUUUGCCAAUGGUGCUCAAUGAGAUCCUCCUGAAGUUGAAAGUGUGUGUUUGCAUUUUCAGUCUCCUUGUAUGUCUGAAGAAAAGCUCUAAUGCGGUUAGGGUCUCUAGCUGGUUUGACACGGCUACUCACAUUGUCGUAGAAGAAUUCCAAGUUCAUUAUCAUCUUCAAGAAUCAUAUUGUGAAGGAUAACACAACAUGUCAUGAUAUUUUUCAAGGUUCUCUUAUCCCAAAAACGAGCAGGACCAAGGACAAUGGCAAACCUAGAUUGCAAAACACCGAAUGAUCUUUCAUUGUCUUUUCGGGCUGCCUCUUGCACCCAUGCAAAUUCACAAUGUUUUCUAGUUUUGGGAUCUUCGAUACUCUUGACAAAUAUGCACCAAGGAGGGUAUAUACCAUCUGCAAGAUAGUACCCUUUUGUGUAUUCAUGCCCAUUGAUUGUGUAGUUGCAAGCAGGAGCAUCACCACCAGCAAGCCUAGCAAACAAAUGAGACCGUUGCAAAACAUUGAUAUCAUUGAAAGUGCCCGGCAUACCAAAGAAGCAAUGCCAAAUUCAUAAAUCUUCGGAUGCUACGGCCUCUAGCACAAUUGUUGCAUCACGAGACUUGCCACAAUACAUUCCUUGCCAUGCCUUUGGACAAUUUUUUCAAGUCCAAUGCAUACAAUCAAUGCUACCUAGCAUGCCAGGCCAACCUCUCCUCUCAUUAGAUGCCAUCAAUUUCUUUGUGUCAUCCUCGUUGGGUGCCCGAAGAUACUCAGGACCAAAGACACGGAUGAUCACUUUUGCAAAUCUACGCACUGACUCCAUUGUAGUAUCUUCACCAAUGGGAAGGUACUCAUCGACAUAGUCAGCCGGAACGCCAUAUGCAAUCACCCGCAUAGCUGCGGAGAUUUUUUUGAUAUGCACCAAAUCCCUUUAAGCCCGCAACAUUUCUUCUUUGAGUAAAAUACCGGCAAUUUGCCUCGCAAGCUUGAACAAUUUUCACAAAGAGGGAUCGGCGCAUUCGGUACCUUCUCCGGAAGAGGUGCGGUGGAUAUGUUGGAUUCUCCGCGAAGUAGUCUUGCAUCAACAUCUCGUUCCUAAGAUGGCGAUUCCGAGGAAUGCAAAGACGCCCGACGGUCGAUCCUCGCCGCCUCUUCCGGUUCUCGUCUUCGUGCUCCUUCACGACAAGUGCCAUCACUAAUGUCUGCUGCCGAAAGGUCGCAAGCAUGGUCUCAACAUCCGAGUUGUCCGAAUCGGACGAAUCGGAGAGCAAGAACUUCUCGCACGGGCUCAAUUCCAUCUACAUGCAUACCGAAGCGUCAAUCAACUAUGCAUACCGCUCGCAAAUAUGACAAAACAAACACUAACCGGCGGCGGAUGCGGCGGGUGAUCCCGGGCGGCGACGAGGGGCGGGCUCGACGGUGGUCGAUCCCCGGCGGCGACAGCGACAAGGGGCGGCUCUUCUCGCCGGAUCCGGGNNNNNNNNNNNNNNNNNNNNNNNNNNNNNNNNNNNNNNNNNNNNNNNNNNNNNNNNNNNNNNNNNNNNNNNNNNNNNNNNNNNNNNNNNNNNNNNNNNNNNNNNNNNNNNNNNNNNNNNNNNNNNNNNNNNNNNNNNNNNNNNNNNNNNNNNNNNNNNNNNNNNNNNNNNNNNNNNNNNNNNNNNNNNNNNNNNNNNNNNNNNNNNNNNNNNNNNNNNNNNNNNNNNNNNNNNNNNNNNNNNNNNNNNNNNNNNNNNNNNNNNNNNNNNNNNNNNNNNNNNNNNNNNNNNNAGCGUAUCGGCGCUGGAGGAUGGGGGACGGCCCCGCGGCGUGAUUCCGCCCCCCAGAUUUGGCCGGAAUCGCCGGCGACGGACGGGCGGAAGCAAAGGCGGUCGGCGGCGGAAGGAGGUGGGGAAAGGCGCGCGGGCUGAAAUGUCCCUCCCGCCAACUGCUUCUCUGUGAUGCAGGGCACCGCAGCGGCGAGGGGGAAACCCACGUAUUCGCGGGUUAGGGCCGAGAUUUUGCCGCGCGCCUUAAAUUUUUUUGCGGACCGGCCGCCUUUGCGGGGUCUGUUCGGGCGGGAUUUUCCGCGCGGACCCGCAUUUUAGCGGUUAUUUUGCGGGUCGGGGCGGGAUGCGGGGUCUGCUAGAGUUGCUCUAACAACAACAAUGGCCAAUGCGGCUCUGACAAAGAAGUCUGAGCACAAAGCAGCUGUAAUUACUGAUACCCAUCCAUCCAUUAAUUAGUCAUAGAGAGACAUCUAAAGGAUCGAUCGACUUUUUAGUUAAUUCUCUCUCACGAGUGAGAUACUCUACUAUUGAUCAGUAGUGGACUAGUGGUACCGUACGGGGUUAUGAAUAACCUGACCCACGGCUGCUUGCUUAGAUUCGCAUACAGGAGGAUGAACGAACGAUUGAUCAGCGUGAGAAAACCUGUCCGUCCGUCCCUGCAAGUACGCACUAGCAAAUUAAUCUUUGAUUUAAGCGCCGUAGAGACAGAACCGGCCCUGCACUUGCAGUCUGAAAGUAGCAACCACGAAUCUCUUAUCCCUGCAACUGCAAGAAUGUGUGAAACUGUUGGCAUGCCAAGCGCAGUGCGUUUAAGUAGUAAAUAAAAAGCUUGUCAAGCGCAGUGCAGUUCAGGAAGGAGCCUGGCCCAAUGUUUAGGAACCAAGCGGCCUUAAUAUUUGCCAGUCAAAUACUCCCUCCGUAGUGAUCUAAACGCAAGCCCGGUCUUGAGAUUUUAGGGGCCACGGCGACAUGAGAUUAUGAGGCCCUUUUAGAAAGAAAGAUUCUUAGAUACAAAGUCUUUGUUGAUGGUAUCAAUAGAAAGAGAGUUAGAGAUACGUCUUCUGUAAAAUGGCGUUGUCACACCGACAAAUGGAUGGUGUGCAGUCUCCUAUCGGUGUGGCGGCAUGGAGCUGGUGAUGGGGCGUCUUUGCCUAGGGUGCACAAGAGAUCAUGUGUUGGUCGAGUAGGGAGCGAUCAUCCGGGAGAUCACGUCAAGUUGCCUUUACACUCCUACAAGCCGAACUGCACACCCGUGUGGGUGGCGGAGGUCAAAUUAUAUGUUUGGUAUGGCGAAACUAAUUGCAUAAGGAGAACGUUCUAUGACAUAAAUCUUUUAUAUCAGUUAUAAUACCAGUCGUGUCUUCCAGCUUCGCUAUGGCUGAGAUCAGGGGCGAAUCUACUGUAUAGACUUUAACAGGCUUGGCCCUGCCCUACUUUCACAUAAGGAGAACGUUCUAGCAUGCAAGUAUUACUUUUCACACAAAAAAGUAUGGAAGCGCUACUUUUUUUAGGGGAGGAAGCACUACUAAAUCGAUGGGCUCCCUGCUGUGAUCUGAUGUGGCCCACAAUCUUUUUAAUAAAAUGGCCCACCACCACUUAACCAUUCACGUUAUUUUUUUAUGCUAAUUAAAGAAAAAAUGGCCCAAGGCCCAGUUCGCUAGAAGAGAUAACGUGCUUUCUUCUUCGUGGAGACAUCGAAGCACAGAAUACAGCUCUGCCUCGAAUGUGUAUGUAUGAGGCUCUGUAUCUUUAUCUAUGUGUGUGUGUGCGCGUGUGGCAAGCAAACAAGACUCGUUUAAACAUAAAGCAGACCCGAUUCUUCUUUAGCCAAGAAAAAUGCUUUGCAUCCAUAGAUAGAGUGUUCCCUGGCACUGUGACACACCGGUAUGGGAUGGCCUUGGUUGCGACAAAAAGCGUGUCAUCUUUUCCCGAAAGCCCCUCCUCCGUGCGCUAUACAUCGUCCAGUGAGUCCAGUCCAGCAGGAGUAUCCAGUGUUGUUGCGCUAUCUACCUGCGGCUGCACCCCCUUCGAAAAUAUAUUAAAAAAAAAUCUAGGGCUGCAGGCUCAGCAGACAUGGAGAAAAGAAAGUCAAUGCUCUCGGAUCAGUGCGGAUAUGGAGAUGAUGGGAUGCAAUCCGAAAGUGUUCUUCUGGUCCCGAGGUCAAAUGAGCCUGUGUGAACAAAAAAAAAUUAGAAAACAAAAUUAAAAAUUUCUGAUUUUUUUAGUGACAAACGUUCACAAAAGUUUUCGGUGCUUGCAAAAUUUCAGCGUGAAAUGACAUUUGUAGAAGCCGUGGCAAAAAAAAAAAUAUCACUCUGAAAUACUUUCGGAAAUGAUAUUUUGGAGCAUCGAUUUUGUUUUUUGAGCCACGGCUUCAACAAAUGUCAUUUCACAAUGAAAUUUUGCAAGCGUUGAAAGCUUUUGUCAAUGUUUGUCAUUAAAAAAUUUCAGAUUUUUUUUAGUUUUAAUGUUCACCCGAGAUCAUAUGAGUUCGGGCUCAGAAACUCCAUGCCCGGAUGCAUUCGGCUUUCUUGCUUCUCUUUCUCUUUUUAUGCAAACAAGCCAAAGCAUAUUCAAGCUAAUUGUACUUUCAAACUUAGGUGUAUUCAAAUAUAUAUUUUCUAUCUAAAAGCACGAUUUUAAUCGUUUCAAGGUAAAUAAAUAAAUUAUUAUACCAACAUUUCUAUUCUGUACCAACAUUUUCAGGAGCAGAGAGUGAGAGAGUGAUUUAGGGUUUGGUCCGGGUGGGGGUUUUUAGUGGGGACAUAGUGGGGUCCAUGCGCGCCAGAGGUGCCAAGCUGACAUGGCGGACACGUCCAUGCCACCUCAUAUCCACCCGAUAUUUGAGCUGAAUUUAAGGGGUUCCGGUCAUAUAAGGGCGUUUGAGGAGUCCAGUUUGGUCGGGGAAAAGUGACCGGUCACUGACCGGGCCGUCCGCCCGGUCAAUGUAGGGGGGCCGGCUAUAGAUGCUCCCAGUGUGGACAUGGAGAUGAUGGGAUGCAGGGUUUUAUUGCAUCUCUUUUCCCCGUCCUUUUUUGGGCCAACAUGCCUAAGCAUGUUCAAGCUAAUUGUAGACAAACUUAGGUGUAUUCAUACGAUUUUUUAUAUAAAAGAAAUAUUGUAACUAUUUCAUGGUAAAUAAAUAAAUUAUCAUACUAACAUUUCUUUGAAACUCCUAGUUUGCCUUCAGGCCAAAAUUUGAAGCCCGAGCUCGGCCCAACCGUCGAGUUUCGGGGUCGGGCUCGCCAUUCUCAUGGCUAGUGGAAAGUUCAAAACCUUGUGUGAGAAAAGGAUGAUGUGUAUCAACAGGGUAUGACUUCAAAGUUGGCGAGCCGUUCAAUUAGUUUUCCCCUGACCUUAGUGGAGGAGAUGAUUUGGAGGCAAGGCGACCAAAGUUUUUGGUUCUCCCGUCCAUCCUACCAUGUCCUGUUGCACCAUCAUCAUAAUCAGCACCACGUUCCACUCCCCACCCCCAACUCAAAAUAAUCUACCCCACGUUCAAGUAUAUAUUAUUCAACAUUUAACAUCUCAAGGAGAUGGUGAAAAGAAAAAAUAUAGGCUGGCCAAAUGGAGUGUGGUUUGUAGGCCGAAAGACCAGGGCGCCUCGGUAUUCAUGACCUGCAAGUCAAGAAUGAGGCCCUACUUAGUAAAUGGUUGUUCAAACUUCUUACUGAGGAUGGUGUUUGGCAAACCAUGCUGCGCAAUAAGUAUAUAGGCCAAAAGGCAGUGUCUCAGGUAUAUUGAAAACCUGGAGACUCACACUUUUGGGCCGGCCUAAUGGCGGCAAAAAACAUCUCUUUCGCUUUGGGUCUUUCGCGAUAAAGGACGGGUCAGAGAUUCGUUUUCGGGAAGACAUCUGGCUAGGCAAUGCUAGCCUCCGAGAACAAUACCCAGCCUUAUACAACAUUGCACGCGAUAAGAAUAAUACUAUUGCGCAGGUGCUCAGCUCAUCCCCGCCAAAUAUUUAAUUCAGGCGGGAUCUGAUUGGCACCCGACUUAUGUCAUGGAAUAAUCUAUUGUCCCGUUUGGAUUCGAUUAUCCUAACACAAGGUCGUGAUGUGUUUCGCUGGAACCUUACUACAUCGGGGUCUUUCACAGUAGACUCUAUGUAUCGUGCACUCACGCAUUCUGAGGUACCAGUGAGUAAUAACAAAAAAAUUUGGAAAGCGAAGGUACCACUUAAAGUCAAAAUAUUCAUGUGGUAUCUCCGUAGGGGAGUUGUGCUAACAAAAGACAACCUCGCACGACGCAACUGGUCGGGAAGUAAGAAGUGUUGUUUUUGUACUCAUGACGAGACAAUUAAACACCUCUUUUUUCACUGUAAGUUUGCGCGUUCUACGUGGUCAGCCAUCCAAAUAGCGUCAAAUUUGUAUCCGCCCACAAGUGUUGCCAAUAUUUUUGGUCAUUGGCUGGACGGUAUUUCAAAUGCAUACAAAACGCUAAUAAGGGUGGGAGCGUAUGCCUUACUAUGGUCGCUUUGGCUAUGUAGAAAUGAUGUUGUUUUUAAUGACAAAACUGUUUCUCCUUUGCAGGUUAUUUUCCGUUGUACGCACUCGCUUCGUACGUGGUGUACGCUACAACGAGCAGAGUACCAACCGCUAUUCAAGGCGGUGUGUACGCUGUUGGAGCAGGUGGCUACGGAGGUUUUUACCCAACAUGGAUGGCAGCAUAAUCUCCGGCUCGGUCCGCCAUCUCUUUCGACAUAGGCAUAGUGUCGGUCUAUGGACUCUACUGUUGCCGAAUUGUCGGUCUUUUAUAUUUCUGUUUAUCAGACUACUGGUGUUUGGCUGUGUGCAUCCUAGUUAUGCAGAGACCGGGUGAUACUCUUAAUGCUUUGUAUCACUUUGAUGCUACAUUUUGAGAUAAUAAAAACGUCCCUUAUCAAAAAAACAUUUAACAUCUCAAGGAAGGUUCAUCAGUUACUAUCUAGUUUCCAGAGGGCAAGUAAAAAAAAAACAGAGUGGAUUUCACGCCCGUGAUAGUAUUUAUCCCAUUUAGCAGAUUUUUCAUAAUUUUUCUCAAACUUGUGUCCCGAAUUAUCUCAUUUAAUCUUUUUUUCUCAUUUUUCUGCUGACUGUACACGAUGGUUUAGUUUAUUUUUGUCAUGCGAUUAUUUAUGUUUUCUUCUUUUACAAGCAUCCAAGUGCUAUUACUAGUACUCUACUACAGUAGCUUGGAGCAAAAAUCGCAGAGACUAGCCAUACGAGGACCGAAUAGGUGCCCUUGUUGUAGAUGCCUAAUACAGUAACAAUAACAAUGGGGCUCUGACAAAGAAGUCCGAACGAACGAUCGAUUAGCGUGAGAAAACCUGCUCGUCCAUCCCUGCAAGUACGUACUAGCAAAUUAAGCUUUGAUUUAGUUAUAAGCGCCGUAGAGACAGAACUGGCCCUGCACUUGCAGUCUGAAAGUAGCAACCAUGAAUCGCUUAUCCGUGCAACUGCAAGAAAGAGUGAAACUGUUGGCAUGGCACUGCCACUGACAGACGUGCGUUUAAGUAGUAAAUAAAAAGCUUGUCAAGCGCAGUGCAGCUCAGGAAGGAGCCUGGCCCAAUGUUUAACCAAGAGCAUCUUCAAGGCGGACUCGUAAACCUCCCGCAACCAUUCGGACCGCGGAAACCAUCCAACGUUGACCUGUAUCGGUCCGCGGGCGGUCCGGAUGCGAUUUCUCCGGUAAAUUGGAGACAAAAAUGAGGGAGGUUUGCAGGAGUGUGGACACUCGAAACGUAGGGCUCUGACACCCUCGGCCCACCCAAUCCCGCCUCCCGGUCUCAUUUUCUUCCACUCUGUCCCUUCUCCCCCUUGCUUCGCAUCCGCAUCCUCCAUCUCUGCUGUUGCUGCUGUUCGUCUCCUCACCGUUCUGACAAAGAUUUCAGCCCUGGAGCCGUUUGUACCCAGGUACACUACGCCCGUUGUCGACGACCUUCAUGGAGUUUAUUUUCAAAUGCUAUGUCGUUUUCUAGAGUACGUAUGAUGGUGAGCUACUUGACCAUGGAUUGUGCGAUGCGUGGCUGACCGUAUGCGCGGAUUUCAUAGGCAGGACCAGAGGGCCGCCCUUCUGAGAGCACGUGCAUGAAAAGUUUCACGCGGGAAAGCACAUUGUGCCCUAUGACAUGUACAUGAUUCAAUGAUGCGACGUGAGGUCGUUGUCGUAUCGCUGGCACGCUAUCCAAGUUAGCGUCAUCAAGUUUUGCAACUUGGUUAGUCAGCACGAGGCAAGAUGGCCAUUGCACACGGACAUGGAGGAGAUGGUAGGUUUUACUUCCUCUUACUCAACUUGUUGAUUGAUUCAUUCACUCAAUGUUCGUCUACACAUUAUAUGUAGUCCGCACGCGCCGCCGUGGUGUAUCACAGGUCAGAGGGACGGUCAUUUACGUGCAUACACUGUUGGAUGAAGCUGAAGGGGAGGUAUAUGUGGGACGACAUGAUCCGUCAUGAAAAACUUAUUGAACAUCCGGAGUCUAGUCGAAUUUGAGACCUUGCUGUAGUAGACUUAAUUUGCAUGCUAUGUGUGAAUGAUUUGUGCUAUUUUCUAUCCGAACUUUGAUGAAUAUCAACCGGUUUGCAUGAAUUUCGUCUGCUUUGUUAAAAUGCAAUUUGAAAUAUAUGCGGCUAGCAUUGAAUAGCUGCCUCCCGCAUCCGUGUCCAUAAACGGAUGCGACACGGAUGCAGGAGGUUUUUUACGGUUACCAUUGAAGAUGCCCUAACGUCUUAAUAUUUGCCAGGCAAAUACUCCCUCGAUAGUGAUCUAAACACUCUAGUAGUAUUUCUUUACAGAGGGAGUACGUGCAGCUCUGCGGACUGCUGCCUCGAAUGUAUAUGUAUGAGGCUCUGUAUCUUUAUCUAUCUAUGUGUGUGUGGCAGGCAAACAAGACUCGUUCAAACAUAAAGCAGACCCGAUUCUUCUUUAGCCAAAAAAAAUGCUUUGCUUUUGCUCUGCAUCCAUAGAUAAAGCAAGAAGAGAGAUAGAGAGUGUUUGAGAGAGAUUGUUCCCUGUCACACCAACACACCGGUAUGGGAUGGCCUUGGUUGCAACAAAAAGCAUGUCAUCUUUUCCCAAAAGCCCUCCUCCGUGCGCCAUACAUCGUCCAGUGAGCCCAAUCCAGCAGGAGUAUCCAGUGUUGUUGCGGCUGCAGGCUAGCUCAGCAAACAUGAACAAGUGAGGGUGUGUUUGGUAGCAUGUAUGGACCUAGCCUAGUUGUUCUCCUCUCAUAUAUGCUCAGUGUAAACAUGCCGAGUCCAUGUAGUUGCUGUUGUUUGGCGGUGAUGUAUGCGCUGAGACAUGCUGAGCUGAGACUUUGUUUGGCAGCCUGCAUGUGUUUAGACAUGCUGAACAAUUUCAAAUUCUAAUUUUUUGAAUGAUGAACAAAAUUGAAACAAAAUGAAAACAAAUUUAAACAAAAUUUUAAAUUUUAAAUAUUUUUUCAAAACUAAUUAAAAUUUGAAAUUCUAAACAUAUUUUGAAAAUUUGAAAAUAUUUGAAAUUCUGAACUUUCGAAAAUUUAAACAAUAUUUGAAUAUUUUAUUUUUUUGAAAUUAUGAUUUUUUUCAAAAUUCAAAAAUAUUUAUUUUUCUAAAUUCCGAACAUUUUUGAAAUUUUUAAAACAUUUAUUGAAAAUUUAAACAAAUUUUGAAAUUCAAAACAAUUUUUUGAAAAUUUAAACAAUUUUGAAAUUUUAAACUUAAAAAAAAUCAAAAUUUUGAACUUUUUCAAAAUUUGAACAUUUUUUCGAAAUUUGAACAUUUUUUGUAAAUAUAAACAUAUCUGAACGUGAUCUGGUGGGUGGGGACGAGGGUCAGGGCCAGCAUGGCUGCCUUCAUGCACCCUGUUUGGGGUGCAUGAGAUGAGCAUGGUUGAGGGCCCUUUUAUGCAUGGACAUAGCUCAGGUGAGCCUAUGCACCCUACCAAACAAGCAAAAGUGGGUCGGAUUGGAAACUUUUGCCCUCAUGCACCCUCCAUGCACCCUAUCAAACACACCCUGAGGGAGCAAGUCAUGGAGGAAAUAAAGGCAUGCUCUCGGGCACGGGCAUGGGCACGGGCACGGAUCACUGUGGAUGUGCAGAUGAUGCGAUGCAGGGCUUUCCUGCUUCUCUUUCUCUUUUUCCUUUCCUUUUUAGGCAAACAUGCAUAAGCAUAUUCAAGCUAAUUGUACUUACAAACCUAGUUAUAUUUAACUCUUUUUCUAUGAAAACCAAUAUUUUGAUCAUUUCAGGGUAAUAAAUGGAUAAAUAUAUUACUGUACCAACGUUUCUACUGAAAACUCUAGUUUUUAGGCAUUUUGGGCUUUGCAGUGCCUUCAGCCAAAAUCUGGAGCCCGAGCUUAGCCCAACAGUCGAGUUUUGUGAGACGGGCUAGCCAUGCUCAAGGCCAGUGGAAAGAUCAAAACCUUGCGUGAAAAAACCCUAUGGGGUUUUAUCAUUUAUACUACUAUUUGCGUUUUACUACUUAGUUUUGUUAUUACGAGUUUCAACUGCUCAAAAAUGGCAUCGCUCCGUUAGACGCAUGCUCAUAAAUACCACUAUAGACCAUUAUUGUUAGCUCGAAGCCCCUUUACCAUGUUAUAUGACUAAAAUACCCAAGGAUCUACAUGUCAGCUCUCCCUCUACCUCACUACUGUAAACCGUGGGUCCCACGUGAUCUCCAACAGCGUUCUUAUUUUUCUCUAAAAUUCUUCGCUCGCUUACACUCCUGACAAGUGUGCCCCAUACUUGCCAUUGUGAUAUAGAGGGAGAGCUAACAUUUGGGUCCAUGAGUAUUUUGGUCAUAUAACAUGGACAACGGGUUUGACCCGAUAAUAACAGUGUCUAAUGGCAUUUUUGAGCAAACAUCUAACAGAACGACGUCAUUUUAAGGUCUUUAAUGGCAUUUUUUAGCAAGCAUCAAUAAAUUCUGGUCAUGGGAUUCGAACUUGGGUCUGUCAAGGCACACAUCCGUGCUCUUGCCACUAGGCUGCUAGGAGCCCAUCCACUCAAUUGUCAUUUAUUCUAGCUUGAUCUUGUAGGCUAACAUAAGUUAACACCCUAGAAAUUAUAUAGGUUGGCUAAUAUUUGUUGUUGUAUUGAUCAGACCCUCGUAGAAGCGGCACCCACAACCAGUCAGGCCCCUCAUAGGCUGCACAUCGCCUACUCGGACGGUUCAUCGUCAUCGCCAUUGACUAGAUUGACUCCUCCAUCUUAAAUUCAGACUUUACGUAAAAGAUGAUGUGGGGUAGUUAAUUAGGCCAGAAUUAGCAGCUGCGGCCCACCCCGGUUAAAAUCAGGGAAGGAGAGAAUUUUACGGAAGGUUAAGUAAGCCUACGUAGCACCUUUCCUUUCAUAGACCUAGAAUUAUUGAUUCAAUAAACACCCCGCCACGGUUACUCGCGCGUGUCAACUUGAAUAGUGCGCGAGUGCUCCAGAGUAGUGAGUGAGUGCAGGCUCUUUUUCUUAACCCUUUUCACCGUCUCUGCUAACUAGAUUUCCGUCCAAAAACCGAACACAUUAUAUGAUUGAUUGAUGGCCGUGGCCAGACGGAUUGAUGGAUGACUGCCCACGGGUGCCUAAAUUUGUGGGUGAAGCUGAUUUCUUUUUAUGGUCUGUACCACUAGCAGAAGCCAGCAAGUCACUCCGUGCAUAUGAAAACCGAACCGAAAAACCAUACCGAAAAUAAACCGAGUCGAACCGAUUUUACGGUUUUUAUGGUUUCUGGUUUCGGUAUGGUAUGAACUUUUCAUACCGAUUUGAACUUUGGUUUUUAUGGUAUAUAUCGAAAAGCCGAAUGGUUAACCGAAUAAACCGAAGUAAAAAUAAAUUUAUAUUUCUUGAGAUGAACAACCAUACAAGUUAUCAUUUUUCUUGUACAUGAGUCACAUUCCCUACUGAGCACAUAAAUUUUCUUGUAACAUAGCCAUUUUUCUCUUUUUAAAAUGCUAAGCACGUCCAUAACCAUCAAUAGAUGAAUCAAUGCAUGCAUAUAUACUUACAUAUAUAGUUAUAUACUAUUUUUGUCAAAUAUAGUAUGUGUUUUGAGUCAUAAAUUUGCAACUUAUUAUUACGCCAUUUUCAAAUUCGCGUCAACUUUGGUUAUUAUGGUAUAUAUCGAAACCAUACCGAAAUAAUUUGUUAUAUAUUGAAACCGAACCGUAUUUUACUUUCAUAUCGUAUUUGCCAAAGUAUUAGUAUCAUACAAACCGAAAAACCGUAUAAACCGAACCAUGUAAACCGAAUAAACCGAACGCAUAGAGUGACCAGCAACGGUGAAUGGGGUCUCUCUAAGAAAAGGACUCUGAGUUGGAGCCAUGUAGGCAGCCACAGGAUGGAUGGAUCGAUGGAGUUACCAGCAGUUAAUUAUCUCUGAGGGGUGAGAUAUACUAUACUGCAUUAUUGAUUAACAGUUGUACUACUGUAUGGUGGAGUCAUAAGUAAUCGAACCAAUUUUUGUGCUGGCAAGGCUAAGGCAAACGGCAAAAGGCUAGGCAGGACCCGACUGGAUUGAGAAACCAAGGCAGCUAGCUGCACUGAGAGCAACUCCAAUCCGCCGAUCCAAAAGAACGCGCGAUUUGUCCGUUUGGGUCGGUUGAACGCUCGUCGUCCGCCUGGGGCCGACCGGUGCGCCAACCGGCUAACCCAAUUCUCGUCCGCGCAGAAAAUAAUUUAAACUUAAAAGGGGCCCGCGACUAGAGAUCAUGCCAGCGGCCAUGCCAUCGCCCAAAGUUCAUGCCGCGCCACCCACACCGCCCUCAAAGAUGAUGUUCUCCAUUAUAAAUGGUUGGCCCUGUCAUCGUCGUCCGGGGUCACCGGCAUUGUGUCGAACAGAUUGCGGCUGUCGGGAUGCAUGCCUGCGGGGAUCUUGCGCGGCCGUUUCCUCUGGCCCCCGGUGGACGACCCGCCCGCCAUAGGUGUGGCGUUGAGGUCGAUGGCCAUGGGAGCGGGCGCGGGCGUAGCCGACGCGAUCGCGCUCACCUCCGACGAAUAGUCCCCGAGAGAGCUGGAGAAACUGGAAGUUUGCGGGUGGGGAUGGAAGCCGAGCGUCUGCGUCGUGGUGGACGUGUGCGAUGACUCUGGCCGUGCCGGAUGAAAGGCAGAGGAGCCCGUGCUAGCCGCGGUUGUCAAACCCUAGGUAGAGUGGGACCUGCUUCGUGUCCGCAGCGACGAUGGCAUUGUUCUCCGCGAUGGUGGCCUCUUGUUGUGCGAUGGCGGUGGCGGCCGCGGCUUCCAGCUUGGUGGCCUACACCUUCUUCUUUUCGCCAAUGCACGGUUUUUUGCUUUUGUUUUUGCACAAAUGAAGAGAGGGAUUCCCUGUCACUAUGACAAACCUACACAACACAAUGGGAUGGGAUGGAAUGGUCUGGGUAGCAAGUAUACUAACAAAAAGGCGUUUCAAGCUUUUCUGGGCUUUCGGGGCGAAAUCUGUAUCCUCAGCCUGAGCCUGACCCAACCAUCGAGCUUCGUGUUCAGGUCGUCGAGCCGGAAGGCCAUGCUCAUGCUGGGGGUGGGGGGUGGGGUGGGGUGGGGUGGGGGGGAGGGGUGGAUCAAAAGCUUAUGUGGCGAGAUCAAAGUCCGACGGCCGCACCUAUGUCUCGCUCUUUUCCUUUUUUUUACUUUCGUGUAUACUUCCAAAUAUUAUAAAUAAAUAUUAAAAACGCUUUACAUAAAACAUUAAAAAAAUGUUAGCCAGGCAUUUGAAAAAUGUUGGAUGUAUAGAGAAAAUGUGUCACAUGUGUACGGAAAAUGUAUACACAAAAUAUACGAUGUGUGUGCAAAAAGUUGAUCGUGUAUUAAAAAAUUGUUAAUCAAGCAUUUGAAAAAAAAUGUUAAACAAGUAUUUCAAAAAUGUUAAUCAAGUAUUGGAAAAUUGUUAAACUAGAUGAUAACCCGCGCAUAGCUGCGGGAAUUUGUAGCAUUGCUUAGCAGGAGGAUUUAUGGAGUAAUUAAUUCGUGAAAUCAGUAAAGCAAAUAUAUAAAAAUAUGUUUACUUGAAUCUUUGAUAGAAUGAUGUGAAAAUUUUAAAAAAUAGGAUAAUCUAGUUGAUAAAAGCAUCUGUAAUGCGUGGCCCUGCCGAUAUAUUGCAAAAGUGUUGUUCAUAUCAAGCUUAACUAAUGACAAAUGUUCAUAUCAUUCAUACCUUGGUAGUCAUUUAUUGUGUAGCAACUUCCGCCAAGAAAUUCAAGAUGUCACCCUUAAUCAUUAAUUGUUUGUUGUUGGAGAAGCGAACAUCACUGGUGCACUUUGUGCCAAAUAUUCGGACAAACUCAGGGACGCUCCCGCUCUCCCCAAUGCACAUGUAUAAAUCAUGAUCUAGUUCAUAACUAAGGGGUAAAUAUUACCUGAUUCUAGAACUCCGGAAUGAAUAAAUAAAAUAAAAAUGGUUGGCGUAUGAAACUACAAUUAGGGAAUAGCCUAUAUGGACGUGUAGCAGAACUUGCAUAGAACAUGAACUGUUGUUGAUUUUUCAUACUAAGGAGCAAAGAGCCCAUGGAGAGCACUUUCCGCAUCUCAAUAUUAACACCGAGACCUCAAAUAGCUCUUUUGUUUGUACAUGGGACAAAGUACAAAAUAAGAAUAGUCUAAUUUAUCCGUUUUAAUGCAAAUUGAGCACAAAAAGUAUAGAGUUUCCCAACCAGAUACUACAGAAACAAUUACAGGAUGUGAGCUGCAGCAUUUAAUUUUUCAUCUAUGUUGAUCAAUGGCCUUGUAAUUCUUCACAUGUAUGUCAGAAAAGGUUAUCAUGAAAUGUAGUAUACCAGAAAAGGUUAUCAUGUAAUGUAGUAUGCCAUUGAGAAUCUCAUCAAAUGCAGCUAGAGAUACAUUGGAGUGAUGUGCUAAUAUCUCUGUGUGAACCUCUUGAUAUUGUUUGUAGGAACACACUCUUCAUAUAAAUGAUUAGAAUAGACCAUCCUCAUGGAAGAUUUCUGAUGAGAUAUAUUAAUAGCUAUAUGAUAGACGGGUUCCCAUAGUAAUAUAGCAUGAGGAAUGAGACGAAUAUAUUCCGAACUUUCUUGAAUAAACUUCCUUGAAAAUACUAUUUCUGAAAAAGAGUUCGGCUUGGUAUCAAUCCUAAGAAACAAUUGGAACAUAAAGGUUCUCAUACCACAUUGAGUGAAUAGUCCUAGGUACAUCCAAAAAGUUAUAUAAAAUUGACAGACAUCUUAUAAUAAAAGGUACCGCCGUAUACUGAUGGAAAGAGUAAUAUAUUGGAAUCCACUCUCUUAUUUACUUACAGAGAACAUAGGUAUAACCCUCUGUGGAUAUUGCUUAUGCUGGUGAUAGAUUAACUGAGAAUACAAGUACUCUAGAAGAUUUCAAAUGUGAAGGUAAAAUCCUUGGUCCAGGCGAACGUGUUGGAAUUCAGAGAAUUGAUGUCUUUCAAACAUGGAAUCGUUUGAGAGAACAACCAUGACCUCUCAGAAUAUCAUAGCAUCAUCACUCUUUCGGGUUAGUAGCUUCGUGAACCUUCAAAACAAAGGUAAACAAUGCAAUCAAAAAAAAUACUGGCUUAACACAUAAAAAAAUAAAUUAUCGGCUUAACACAUAUAAAAAGAAUUUAGCAAACAUAAGCAUAUGAGUUGUAUCUAGAGGUAUCGGUAUGAAUAGUCCAAUGGAAGGAAUUUGUAUGGUAUGUAAUAUGCACAUAAACAAAUAGAAGGUACGUACAUUCGCUAAUCAAGUCUAGAUAAUUAAAUUCAGAGAUAAGUAGUUGUGUACGAUCACGAGCAGCAGGAGAAAGACAAAAAGCAUUGAAUCCAAUCUGAGCAACCUAUGAAGCAAAAACUCGAGCACCUUUCAAUCCCGAGAGCAACACGAGAAAUUGAAAAGCAUGAGCUUGAUGAUAGGAAAAAUUAAGGGUGGAUGAAAAUAUGAAAUCUGCAGCUAGCAAGGCAGAGGUCGUUUCCUAGAUGAGAAUGUAAACAUGCGUGCUUGUUGGAUUACGAUGUCGGUCUAGAGGGGUUUUUAUACACAUUUUUCUCACAAUUGCGGAGUAAUGGAGGCUGAGAUAAUUAUGGGCGAUUAAUGGUGUGGUGCAUGAAGCCGUUUCUUGUGCAUUUGUGGCCGGGAGAAUGUGUGUCGUGUAGUUGAAUCAUAGUUUUAAAUAGCCGGCUAUAGCCGCUAUAGCCUUUUCAGCAGGGUGCUGCUAAAUGGUCGCCUUCACAAAUACUCCGCUAUAGCUAAUUUGAAGGCCCGCCCCUAUUUUUCAUAGCCCUCUAUUUAAAACAUUGAGUUCAACGGGUUAGUGGCGGCCGUAAAAUCAGAAGUGGGAAUAUGAACAAAUGAGCUGCUGGAUUUACAUCUAUCGAUCGGCGGGAAAGGGCUAGCGACGGCGGCUGGCAAGGGGGGCCGUCGGCCAUGGUGGAGUAAUUAAGGGUUUGGUUCUUUGCGCCGAGUUUUGGCGUAGCAGCGAUAUUUCGAUUCAUCCUUUUCUUCCAAGGAUUUCAUAAUUGGACGUUGAACCCAUUUCAUAUGAUGGGAGUUGCCGGAGUAUUAGGUGCGGCUCUGCUAUGCACUAUUCAUGGAGCGACCGUAGAAAACACUCUAUUUGAGGACGGUGAUGGUGCAAAUACCUUCCAUGCUUUUAACCCAACUCAAGCUGAAGAAACUUAUUCCAUGGUCAUUGCUAACCGCUUUUGGUCCCAAAUCUUUGGUUUUGCUUUUUCCAAUAAACGUUGGUUACAUUUCUUUAUGCUAUUUGUACCCGUCACCGGUUUAUGGAUGAGUGCUAUUGGCGUAGUUGGCUUGGCUCUGAACUUACGUGCCUAUGACUUUGUUUCCCAGGAAAUCCGUGCAGCGGAAGAUCUUGAAUUUGAGACUUUCUACACCAAAAAUAUUCUUUUAAACGAGGGUAUUCGUGCGUGGAUGGCAGCUCAGGAUCAGCCUCAUGAAAAUCUUAUAUUCCCUGAGGAGGUUCUACCACGUGGAAACGCUCUUUAAUGGAACUUUCGUUUUAGCUGGUUGUGACCAAGAAACCACCGGCUUUGCUUGGUGGGCUGGGAAUGCCAGACUUAUCAAUUUGUCCGGUAAACUGCUUGGAGCUCAUGUAGCCCAUGCCGGAUUAAUCAUAUUCUGGGCCGGAGCAAUGAACCUAUUUGAAGUGGCCCAUUUCGUACCAGAAAAGCCCAUGUAUGAACAAGGGUUGAUUUUACUUCCACACUUAGCUACUCUAGGCUGGGGAGUAGGGCCAGGGGGGAAGUUCUAGAUACUUUUCCGUACUUUGUAUCUGGCGUACUUCACCUAAUUUCCUCCGCAGUCUUAGGCUUCGGUGGCCUUUAUCACGCGCUUCUGGGACCCGAGACUCUUGAGGAAUCUUUUCCAUUCUUUGGUUAUGUCUGGAAAGAUAGAAAUAAAAUGACUACAAUUUUGGGUAUUCACUUAAUUUUGUUAGGUCUAGGUGCUUUUCUUCUAGUACUCAAGGCUCUUUAUUUUGGCGGUGUAUAUGAUACCUGGGCCCCUGGGGGGGAGAUGUAAGAAAAAUUACCAAUUUGACCCUUAGCCCGUUAUAUUUGGUUAUUUACUAAAAUCUCCUUUUGGUGGAGAAGGGUGGAUUGUUAGUGUAGAUGAUUUAGAAGAUAUAAUUGGUGGGCAUGUAUGGUUGGGUUUUAUUUGUGUAUUUGGCGGAAUUUGGCAUAUUUUAACCAAACCCUUCGCAUGGGCUCGCCGUGCAUUUGUAUGGUCUGGAGAAGCUUACUUGUCUUAUAGUUUAGCUGCUUUAUCUGUCUUUGGUUUUAUCACUUGUUGUUUUGUAUGGUUCAAUAAUACAGCUUAUUUGAGUGAGUUUUAUGGACCCACCGGGCCAGAAGCUUCUCAAGCUCAAGCAUUUACUUUUCUAGUUAGAGACCAGCGUCUUGGAGCUAAUGUGGGAUCCGCUCAAGGACCCACAGGUUUAGGUAAAUAUCUAAUGCGUUCCCCAACUGGGGAGGUUAUCUUUGGAGGGGAAACUAUGCGUUUUUGGGACCUUCGUGCUCCAUGGUUAGAACCUCUAAGGGGACCCAACGGUUUGGACUUGAGUAGGUUGAAAAAAGACAUACAACCUUGGCAAGAACGACGCUCAGCAGAAUAUAUGACCCACGCUCCUUUAGGCUCUUUAAAUUCCGUGGGUGACGUAGCUACCGAGACCAAUGCAGUUAAUUAUGUCUCUCCUAGAAGUUGGUUAUCAACUUCUCAUUUUGUUCUAGGAUUCUUCUUUUUUGUGGGCCAUUUAUGGCAUGCAGGAAGAGCCCGAGCUGCUGCAGCAGGUUUUGAAAAGGGAAUCGAUCGUGAUUUGGAACCUGUUCUUUACAUGAACCCUCUUAACUAAGAUUUUCUUAUUUAUACCUGUUCUACUUUUUUUCUGUUCUGGCUCGGUUAUUCCAUCUAGCCGAGCCAUUCAUUCCUUUUUAUGAAAGAAAGAUAAGGGACAGAAAAAAAAUGAAAGAAACAAACGUAUUCAAUAAGCAAAAGGAGAGAGAGGGAUUCGAACCCUCGAUAGUUCCUAGAACUAUACCGGUUUUCAAGACCGGAGCUAUCAACCACUCAGCCAUCUCUCCACAGCCUAAUCCUUAUUUUACUCCUACAAAUAGAACAUAGCCAUAUAAAAAAUAAAAAGAUUUAUUAGCCUCUAGAAAGAUAUCAGAUACAAGUUCCUUUUCGAUAUAUCUCUGUAUACUGUAUACACGGAUACAGGAUCCGCUAUACCCGCUUGUGAAAUAAAGAGUAAAUAAUCUCUUCUCACCCCCAUAUCCAAAUAAAAAAGCGGCUUAAGUAAUAAAUUUGAAUUAAAGAGAAGAACCAAUGGAUUCAUGAUUAAACCCCUCCUACUUCUUGUAUUUUUUUACAAUUUUGGUUUAAGUGAGGGAUCAAAUAUGUAGUCAACUUUAUUUGAUGGUAGCUUGGAGGAUUAGAAAUAUGACUAUUGCUUUCCAAUUAGCUGUUUUUGCAUUAAUUGCGACUUCCUCAGUCUUAGUAAUUAGUGUACCCCUUGUAUUUGCUUCUCCUGAUGGUUGGUCAAAUAAUAAAAAUGUUGUAUUUUCCGGUACAUCAUUAUGGAUUGGACUAGUCUUUCUCGUAGCUAUUCUGAAUUCUCUCAUUUCUUAAAUUAAAUUUGGUUAAUAUUUAUUAACCCCAUAAAAAAGAAAUAAUAAAGGCCAUUUCUUCUAAAAAAUUAGAAUAGUGAGACGUAUUAAAACGCAAUUUGCGUUCCGAAUUGCUAGCUCUUCUCUUUCAGUAUUAUGAAAUUCCAUUCCCAUUAGAAUAUUCAUUCACAGAUAAUAAAAAAAGGAAAACUCUAAUAUAAUAGAAAAUGAAAUGAAACGGUCGACCCAGACAUAGAAGGUCGACCCAGGCGGAUAUACGCUAUAAAAUAUAUACCGUAGCGAGCGUAGUUCAAUGGUAAAAUAUCUCCUUGCCAAGGAGAAGAUACGGGUUCGAUUCCCGCCGCUCGCCCGCUUAAUUUAUCAAAGUACUAUGAUAAAAAGUUUAGUCUAGUUAACUGUUUAACUACUUAUAUUAAAUUAAGUAUUAAUUAGGUGUUAGUCUAGUGCCGUAUCCCUUACUAUCUUACCCUUCCUUUGCAUCCCACUCAAAAAAGAGGGCGCUCCGGAGGCAGAAAUAGAACUCGCCAACAGAGCUCCAAAAAUUGGGUAUUAACUGAGACAAACAACGGGCAAACUUUUUUAAAGGGAAGAGAGAGGUAGACUGUCCCUUUCGUUUCAUUUUUAUUUUCUGCAGGGUAGGGAGAAGCCUUGCGCCUUCUUUUUUUGAAGGCAAGUGACUUCGCAAACUGCUCAAUUUUGCCCUCUAGGGCCGGGAACUAAUGAAUAAAAAAGGGUUGGAUACGCCCCUCUACCAUAUCUAGAGAAAUAGAAUAGUCCUUUUAUACAGACUGCUAAGUGCGGAGACGGGAAUCGAACCCGUGACCUUAAGGUUAUGAGCCUCGUGAGCUACCAAACUGCUCUAUUCCGCUCUAGAGUACCAGAAACUGGUGGACAAAAAAGGCUUGAAUACAAGCCUCUAACAUGUCUAGACAAAGAGAAUACUCCUUUUAUACAGAAUGGAGCGGGUAGCGGGAAUCGAACCCGCAUCGUUAGCUUGGAAGGCUAGGGGUUAUAGUCGACGUUGGUUGAUUAUUUUUAACGUCUCUAAUUCAAAACCGAACAUGAAAUUUUGAUUUCAUUCGGCUCCUUUAUGGAUAUUCUCACCACUUAACAUCUAUGUCAGCUUUUCUAUUUGAAUGGAACCAAAGCUCUCCGCUUUCUAGAUCAUCCUUAUAGAGUAGGAGAUAGAAAUUCUAUCUAAAUCCAUCUAAUCUACUUACUUCGUUCCCUAAUUUCAUUCAAGAGAUCCUGAGGAAAAGAAUUGGGUUUCCACCGAGCUGAAACAAUAUGCGGAUGGUUCUAGUAAACCAAAACUAUCGUUUUUUAGCUAUUUGGCUUCCUUAUUCCUUAUUUUAAGAAGAUUUAGUUACGAUUGGAAAUCAACUUUUUUGUAUCUUCAUCCAUAGAUCCUUUACUCAUAUUUUCAAAAUUGGAAUACUUAAUCCAAUGCAAAAUUAUGCUUCGCGACUCUGUACUCAUAAUCCUAUUUUUAUUUUGGAUGCUAUUUAAAUUAGUCUUUGGAUACAAAUCGCCAGAAUGUAUAUUCUUCCUCAAUAUGCUAUUGAGAGGAAAAGGAUUUAAUCCUUUAUAAGAACUAAAGUUUUCAUCGGAAUAUAAAAAUAAAAAACUUAAGGAUGCCUUAAGUAUAUCAUUUCAAAUUCAGUUAUUAUAUAGAACGAAUCACACUUUUACCACUAAACUAUACCCGCUACAUUGUAGAUUAUGGUAUAAAUGGUACCCUUUGUCAAGGAUAGCCAUUUGACAAGAAGGCUAAUUCCCCCUUAUUGAAUCAGAUGGAGAAGGUUCAUGACACUGAGCCGUUGGUACUUCUACUUCGAUCGCUCGCCUUUACUUUAGGAUUUAGAUAGCCCCUCUGGUCUGUAAAAAAAUCUUUUCUUACCAUGCUAAUAGCGCCUGAACCAAAUGUAUUUAUUUUGAUUAGGAUCCUAUUCUACGGUUACGAUUACAAUAAUAAUUAUUUACUUUGCAAGGACAUAAGUGUGUCAGACUGCUAAAUUGUUUUAUUAUUCCUACAAUAUAAACUAGGGGAUAUAGGGGGUAACACUGUCCCUAUAAAUUCCUUUUUCCUUUUCUUUUUUGUCCAGAAUUGAACAAAAAAGAAAUUAUGGAAGAUGUUUUCUUCCCCCAUUAAGUCCGAGCCAUAGAGUAAGAGUGAGAUGAGUUUUCCAAAUUCAUCAUAGACUUUCCCUAUGGCUUGAUAGAAGUAAGCAGCAAAGAGUCGUAACUUAAAGAAAAAAACGGGCAGGUCCGACAGAUUUACCUGAUGUAAAGAAGAUCCUAAAAGUCUCUGAUUAGUCGACUCUCUACAUUUAACACUUUCCUCUCUCUCCUUUUUUCCACUGACUCAAUUCUAGUUUAUUAGAUUCUUGUUUAAAAGAAUGAAAAAAGUUCAAUAGAACUAAGAACACAUAAAAAAUAGCAUAGAGGAUCAAGGCCAUUACCAAAAGUUCCUCCCAAGGGUCCUAUAUCCUAUUGGGUAUCUGUUCCCCGCCUUUUCCCGCUAGGAUCGGAAAUCUUAUAUUUUCCAUAUCCAUAUACCGUUGAAUCCUUGGGGUUCCAGAAUCUGCCUAUUUUACUAGUCUUCGGAAACGGAAAACCCUGAACCAAGAAGAGUUGGAUAUGUUAUGUAGGGUAUGUUUUUUUUAUUAAUUUUAUUUUGAGCUCUCAAGAUAUCGAUAUAUACAUAUACAAUCUCUACAUAAUGUCUCUCUCUCUAUCUCUCUAUAUUAUAUAUAUAAUAUGUACAUUAUGUAGUAGACCCAUAAUGGGAAAUCCAAGUGGCUAAUUUUUGAAUUAAAUAAAAAGCCCUUUUAACUCAGUGGUAGAGUAAUGCCAUGGUAAGGCAUAAGUCAUCGGUUCAAAUCCGAUAAAAGGGCUUUUUAAAUUAGUGGUAGAGUAAUCUUGUGCUAAGACGUAAGUCGUUGGUUCGAAUCUGAUAGAGUACUUUUCUACUAAAUUGAUUCACUUUUGUUCUUUGUUUUUGAAACUUUCUCUAUAUUUUUAGAGAAUUUUAUGACUUAGUGCGGGAUGGAUGCAUUUUUGGUCUGAACACUAAAUGAAGCACGGAGAAUUAAUCUAUAACGAUCAACUAAAAAAAAUCCUAGAUGAAAACAUAACAGAAAAGUUGGAAAAACUCUUUGCUUUGGAUCUAUUUAUACUUUGAUUAUAGUAUAAUCACGAGCGGUUGUAUAUGGCCCUAUCGUCUAGUGAUGCCCCUAUCGUCUAGUGGUUCAGGACAUCUCUCUUUCAAGGAGGCAGCGGGGAUUCGACUUCCCCUGGGGGUAGGGAGUAUUAUGAAAGGAGGUUAAUGGGGACGGACUGUAAAUUCGUUGACAAUGUCUACGCUGGUUCAAAUCCAGCUCGGCCCAAACCAAAAAUCUAGGGCUUCGUGAGUAUGAACUAAAUCCUUUUGUUUUUCUUCCAUAAGAUAAAAUGUCUGAUCUAUAGAAAUAAAAGAUAAAGAAAAAAGGGAAUUUUUUUUCUAAUCCAUAUCUCUCUCAUUCCUUUCUUACAAACAAAAGAGUUUUUCUUAUUGAAGGCUGGAUUAUUAUCCAUUUUUAGUGAUAAAAAAUCACGAUAUACUAGUUAUGUCACUCUCACUAUACCCACGUAUAAUAUAAUAUGCGGGUAUGUAGUAUAUGAUUCGUCUAUUUCUUAGAGUACGAAAGACGAAUCGAAUAUUCUUAUGGUUCUAUUUAAGAAUGGGUAUGCCAUACACCCCGCGGGGAUUGUAGUUCAAUUGGUCAGAGCACCGCCCUGUCAAGGCGGAAGCUGCGGGUUCGAGCCCCGUCAGUCCCGAACUAGGGUUCAAUGAAUGGAGAAAUUGAUAUUUCCUUUUUCCAUGAAAAAAGGGGCAGGGAGCAAGAUCAAAUACCCACAGGGCACCCUUACUUCACUUUUUUAUUUUGCAUCCCUCAUUAAAGAGGGAGGGAACGCAUAUAGGAAUUUUUUUUCACUACUCCCGAUCGAUAAAGAAAGACACACAUACGAUAUGUGGAUUAGUAGAAUUUAGGAUAUUGUAUUACUCUAUCUUUCUUUAUGAUGAUACCAUCCUCAUCUUAAUUUCCUAUUCCACUCUUAUGGAAUAGAGUACCGGUAUUUUACCGGAAUGCAUACAUAAAUCGUAUUCCCUUUUUAUUUCAGACCUCUUUUCCCCAUCUCACUUCUACUGCUUAUUUGGAUGUCUAUGUGACCCAUAGAAAGUUGGUCAUAUAAUACAUACAUAAUUGUAAGUAUAACUAUAAGAAAAAGGAAGGGAAAUUGUAUAAGAUUAAGAAAGUAGAAGAUUAAGAAAGCUCGUGGGUUAGAGAUAUAGAAAAGAAAAAGUAGAAAAGGAUUAAAAAAGAGGGAAUUCCUAAUCCAAUCAAAAAAGCCAUUUUGGUCUUAGUGUGGAUAGAGGAUCUUCCUAUGUUAUACUAUAUAACUCUCAUCCGUGAAAUAUAACUCUCAUCCAUGAAUUGAUUUGAUAGAUCCGAUAUUCAUAAUAUUG